ACCAUUCAAACACCCACUUAAAUCCAACCACUCCAAAGCAUAUUGGGAGCAUUCUGAAACGUUUUGCGGUGGGUCAAUCCUUUCUAUUUCAAAAGGAUUCCUCAAUGCAAACAACUGUUUCAGGUGACACUGUCUCCAGAUUCCAACAUCCUCAAUAUUCUUAAACUGGUUAACAGAGAGAUCAAGCUCUAGAAGGUUAGCCAUAAUAGGAACCGAAGAAUGCAGCAUGUUUCCUGAGAGAUCAAGGACUCUUAAGGAACUCAUGUUACUGAAAACAGAUGGAAAUAUGCCUUCAAUUGAAUUUCGGCUAAGAUCCAGGUGUUGGAUGUUAGAAAGCAUACUGAUAUUAAAAUGAGCGGAAGAUAGAAAAGUCUUAUUAUCUAGCCAACAACUUGAAAAAUGCAGCUCUGAUAAAGAGGAAGGGAUCAUGUUUAGCAAGUUUGCAAAGUUCCAUGCCAAACUAAGACUAAAACCAGAAAGAUCCAGAAAUUCAAGGGAUGUCAUGUUUCGGAAGAAUCCAGGGAGUGGACCUUUGAAAGAAUUGGAGCCAAGAUCAAGGUGUUUUAUGUUGGCAAGAAUUCUACUUGAAUUAAGAAAAGGACCAAGAUGGACAUUGGAAAGUCCACAACCACGCAAACUUAACUCUUUUAACGAAGGAAGAUUGUAAAGCACCAUGCCCAUGUUCUUUGCUCCGCCAAGAUCCACAUCACUCAAGUCGAGAUGCUCGAGUGAUGUAACGCCAAAAGUCCAUGACAUAUCAUCUGACAUCAGCUCAUCAUUCCAACUGAGAUCCAAAACCUUUAAAUUAGAAAGAUUUCCAAUGUGGGGAGGAAUAAUACCUUGAAAACCAGCAGCAGAGAGAUUGAGGUACAUCAGCUGUUUGAAGGAUCCAAUGAACUCAGGGAACCGGCUUCCUCCAAAAUCAUUCUGACUCAAGUCCAGGUACUUGAGAUGCCUCAACUCAGCCAAUGAAGAGUUCACCUCAUAACUAACUAAGUAGCUUUCUCCUUCACCAAAAUAGUAAUCUCCUCUGAGAUUGAGGCUGUCAACGGUUCCAGUGAGACUGUCACAGUGGAUUCUUUCCCACUGGCAACAAUCCUUACCCACCCAUGAAGACAACAUUCCGUAACGAUCUUCGAUGACACUCCCUUUGAACCUGAGAAGAGCAAGUCGUUCNNNNNNNNNNNNNNNNNNNNNNNNNNNNNNNNNNNNNNNNNNNNNNNNNNNNNNNNNNNNNNNNNNNNNNNNNNNNNNNNNNNNNNNNNNNNNNNNNNNNAAGAAUCCUUGGAAAACUUGGAAGCCAAUGGAAAUUGUGCCCAGAAUUACACUCCUCUAGUGACUAGUCCCUAUGCACACGGAAAUGUCCUAGGGAUACAAAAAUUGUUCUAACACAACUUUAUUUGAAUAAGAAAUAUCCAUUGGUAGUUUGCAGCACAUUUAAGUGUGAUUUAAACAAGUCAUUAGUAUAUUUUGCUAAUCAUACAAGACUUGAUAUCUCGUUCUCUGUAGAUUUAGUUUGUUGGUCCGGAAGUAUCACAUCAAUGUACAUGUAUAUGUAUUUUAGUGUAUCUAUAUGUAUAUCAAUGUAUGUGUGUGAGUAUUUGUUGGUGUAUCAAUGUACAUGUAAUAUACUAAUAUGUCUACCAAUGGAUCCUACAAACAUGUUUAACUUUAACAUCACCCGUAAUAUUGUUCUUAUGAGACAUGACAAACACACAUUUCAUAAAGGAACAACAUAACAUGUCAAGUGUACUAACCUUUAGAAGAUGUUGCAAUCAGCAUAAUUAAUGCUUGAAACUUGAUACAACCACUGAGACAUCCAAUAUGAUCAACAAGUCACCUGAAACACCACAAAAGCAAUCAACAAAAAUGCUUAAUACCACCAAACUCAACAACAACAAUCACCAGCAACCACAUAUAUGAUAAACAGUAAUUAUGAUAAACAAACAAGCUUACUCAUUAUUAUCAGAUAGUCAAUUCAUUCUGCUACAUAUAUGAUCUCUACUUUUGGUAUAUGUUCAAAACAAAACCAAAGAAGAAAUGCACAAAAAUUAUCACUACAAAAGAAAACUUGAAGAAACAAGGUUAGGGACACUAGAAAACAUAUGAUGUAAAUAAUGAUCGAGAGCAUGUACAUUGCACCCUUGAAUAUAGCAAUCAAGAAUCAUCACUGCACAAGUUAACUGCAAGAAGCAAUAUGGUACAAAUAUCUGACUUAGAAAGAAUAGUGCCUACUGAAAAAGGUAUACAGAACUCAAACUUUAUCUCAUACAUUUUCAUAAGAAUAUAGCUUAUCAGUGUUAAUUAUGAAGUAUACUUAGUUUAACUUGUUAAUACUAUAAUUUAACAGUUCUUAUUAUGGUUAAUAUUGAAAGAGAAAAAAUGAAAACAAAUAUAUUCCACUUUUAUUGUUAUUCCAUGGAAAACAAAACUAGUAUCAAGAAUUCAGGAAUGAAUAUCAGUCUAACAAACAGUGGCAUGAAGUAACUAUAUUCAGGUUAACUUAAUUUAAUUAAUAUUAUCAAUUCUUAUAUAUGAUAAGUUCAAAUGUUAAUUAACAUAUUCCAUAACUGAUAUUUUGUAAUUUUUACAUAUGUACUAUCAUAGAAACAUCACAGAUUUAAUCUAAUGAAAGAGAAAGAGUGUAAAACAAAAAACGAUGUCUUUAUCAAUGCCAUAAAUCAUGAAGAUUUUAUUUUCAUUUCCUAAAAUAUAACUUCUCAAAGAACUUCUGCUUAACCCUCAACUUUCAUUUUACCCUCAGUCGGUCCUCUAAGUUGCACUUCUUCAUGAAAUUAAAUACAGUAUGAUUUUGAGGGACAAUUCCAACCCAUUUAUAGGUAAAUGGACGGUCAUUAAAUGUUUAUUAAAAUUUAAAAGAUUAAUAUUUUACCUUUUUAAAUUAUUUUAUAACAGCUUUCCUGAAAUUUUUACUUUUUACUAGCUAAAAUAGGAUAUCCAUAUAUAAAGAUUUCUCUUUAUAAAACCCAUUAUUCAACCGAUGAAAAAAAAACAAAAUACAAACAUUGAUUUUUCCUUCUAUUAAGUCGAUGAAAUAACAAUUCAAUGGAAAAAACAAUAUCACAAAUAUGCUUUAAGAUAAAUUUUCAUGAUUAUCAAUAAUAUCAAUAUAAAAGAAGCUUUGAAAUGGUGAAUCUAUAUUUGUUCAACUAAUUGUUAGAUACGUAUAAAAAAAAUUGAACUGGGCAUGUAACCUUUACACAUUAUUUGGUACUCUCUCUUUAUUAGAACUAAUGCUGAUUUUUAUUAAAUGACAAUGUUGUUAUUUACCAAAUUUCAUUUCAUUUAAACGUCUAUAAAUACAAACUAAAAAACAUGUUGGAAUAGUUCAUUUCGAUCCUAUAGACCAAAGAAACAUGAUAGUGAAAUGAUAAUUAUCUAUCUUAUUGCCAUGUUCUUUAGAUUUCUACGUUCAUUCAAUUAUUUGUGAUUCCACCCAAGCCUAAUGCCCCAUAGAUCGUUCGAACUGUAUAUGAACAACAAUCAAGUUUAGCUCAAAUGGUAAAAAGCACCUACCUGAGUUCCCUUUGUUGAAAAAUAGGAGAUAAAAAAUACCAACGAAAAACUAUAAGUUUUCAUUCAAUGACUUUAAAGUCAACAAAAAACUAUAAACUUGAUUUUGACAUAUAAAAGUUUUACAAAACUAACUUGAAGUUUUUGAUUAUUCAACUUUAACAGAUUAUGAGGAGNGAUUAUGAGGGACAGAAUCUCAUGUGGUAGAAGCAACUACUUUUUAUUAGGUUAUCAGUCUCACAAUAUAAGAAAUAUUGACUUGCAUAUGAUGGAUCUUGCUACUGCCUAUUUGUAGUUUUGUACUCCUCCCAUGAUACCAAUCUUUUAUAUAAACCUUUACCUCCCUCAAAAGAUUUAAACCACCAUAAACAAGUAAGAUGGGAUCUCAAGAACACUAUUUGAUCAAAUUAAACAAGUCAUUACAUAUUUUGUUGCUAAUCAUACAAGACUUGACUUUGGUUAAGACCCCUUUCAACCUUUUAAAGAUUCCAAGGAAAUUGGUGGUCCAAAGCACAUUUAAGUGUCAUUUAAACAAGUCAUUAAUAUAUCUUGCUAAUAAUACAAGAUUUGAUAUAUCGUUCUCUGUAGAUUUUAGUGUAUCUAAUGUAUGAGACAUGACAAUUGACAAACACACAUUUCAUAAAGGAACAACAUAACAUGUCAAGUGUACUAACCUUUAGAAGAUGCUGCAAUCAGCAUAAAUGAUUGAUACUUGAUAACAACCACUAAGACAUCCAAUAUGUCACCUGAAACACCACAAAAGCAAUCAACAAAAAUGCUUAAUACCACCAAACUCAACAACAACAAUUACCAGCAACCGCAUAUAUGAUACCAUUGCAUUCUAUUUGGGAGAGAAUAAAUAGUUCGCUUUCUUGGUAAUUAUGAUAAACAAACAAGUUUACUCAUUAUAAUUAUCAGAUAAUAAAUUCAUUCUACUUACUGUAUAUAAGCUAUGUUCAAAACAAAACGAAUGAAGAAAUGCACAAAAUUCAUCACUAUGCAAAAUUUAACUGGAGGCACAAGUUUAGAGACACUAGAAAGCAUGUCAUCAUGUACAUAAUGAUCGAGAACAUGUGCAACCAUGAACAUAGCAAUCAAGAAUCAUCACUACACAAGUUAACUGGAAGAAGCAUAAUGGUACAAAUAUCUAACAUAGAAAGGAAAGUACCUACAGAAAAAGGUAUACAGAACUCAAACUUUAUCUCAUACAUUUUCAUAAGAAUAUAGCUUGUUAAUGCACAAACUCACCAACUUUCCUAGAAACUAUUAUGUCUUUUCUUGUUUACAUAAAUCCUCCCAGAUACCAUUGAUAUACAAUGCUUAACAUAGAAAUUAAUAAGAUGAAUCAUUGAGAUCAAAUAUAUUCAUGUUAACCUUUGGAAGAAUGAAUACCAGUUACGGAUGUGAUAUUGCUAACCCAAACAAAGAUAUACACACUGAUGAGCAGAUAAUUACAUGUUAUGUGCUGAUAAAUAGUAUGUAUAUCAUUAUUAAGUAACCUUAACUUAACCAAAACAUUAAUAAAUACAAAUUACAAUCUCAAUAUGUAUCAUCUAUUACUAUUUCUUGAAUUUUUACCCCAUUCUAAUGGGAUUCCAGGGAUCUGUUUAUAUUGCUGUUUUGUAGUGUCAGUGUAUUUGUUUAAAUUUUUAUUUUCUUCUAUUUUUUUUUUUAAAGUUACUGUAAUGAUUAUGAAAGUUCAAGUUUCCACAUAUCUUUGCUUUAUAAAUGUGUUCUUCAACUACCACAUCUCUUCAAAGUUAUAACCAAAUUUGACAGUUACAAAUGUUCUUUAUCUGAAAAAUAUUACAUCUGACUAGGAAUAAAAAAUUUCUAUGUGGAAGAAGGUAUGCAAGACCUUAACUUCUGUAAGUAUUAAUCUAUUAACUUAAAUAUUUACACUUUAGUAUUUGGGAAUUUAUUUUAUUGCUUAUUUAUUUUUUAAGAAUAUACGUACUUGAAGUAAAAAGUAACUGUGGCCAAAAAGGUUUUCUUCUAUGUUAACAGCACCGGUUAUUUGCAUGUUUAUUGUAGCAUUUGAGUAUCUAUUCGUUUAUCCCUAAAAACCAAAUAAAUUCAUCCCAAUUUUAAACUUGAUUGUUCAUUAUUCAAACUCAGAGCAGCACAACCAAUGCAGAAGAACCAAUUCUAUAAUUAAUGUUUUUUUUUUCAGUGUGCAAGAGCAAAAAUCUCAUGUACUUGUAUUGCUGCAGCAACUAAUACUCAAGAAUUAAUGUGUUUUGAUCAAAAUAAGUGAUUGGUUUGAAAUAAUACGAGUGUAAGCACCAAAGGGUCUACUGACAAGCAGGGGAGAUAAUUUAGUUUAAAGCAUUUGCUACAUUUGCUACAGAUUAUCGUUUGACAUCAGGUAUGUUAAUACAUCUGGAUCAUUUGAAACAUAUAAAUAUAUAAAUGCAUCAUUUUCAAUGACGCUAAAUUACAAUCUUCUUUGUCUUUGUGCUACCGGUCUCAAUAUGUGAGAAUUAGGUCAAAUAGAAAAAAGAUUGGAAAAACUUACCAGGUAAAUGUCGAUAACGACUGAGGAAUGAAGGAGAGAGAGAUGAAUUAGAAAUCGAUGGCUUAGCAUUGUCCUUUUCCUCAACUCCUCGCUGGUGGUGGCGGAGGAUAGCGCCUGAGAACGCAAUCGAGGUGCGAGGAAUAUACAAAAUUUGGGGAAAUUGUGUGUGGACAUGUGGGUACUGGAGUGAAAAAUAGAACGCUUCAAAUACUUUUUUUUUUGUUUUUUUUUUUUUUUUUAACUUUCAUAAAUACUAUUUUUAUUUCUAGAUUUUCAUAAAUUUAUCUAGAACCUUUUUUGGUACAAUAACUUUUAAAAUUAUAUUACUAAAUAAAUUUAAUUAAAAUAUCAAAUAAAUAAUUUGUUUAUAAAUAAUUAAAGUUAAUUGUGAAAUUAUCUAAAAAAACAUUACAUUAAAUAACAAAAUUAUUAAUGUAAAUAUUUACUAGACAAAGUUCUUAAUUAUUCUUAAGUAUGUUGAUGUGCAAUACAUUGUAUUUGACGCGUCACAGUUAGCUGAUAAGUUAACUGAUAAACUAGUUUAUUUUUCGAGUUUUUUUAAACUGUCAUGUUUGGAUUACCAAAUAUACCACUUACUUAAUUACAAAAAUGUCUUUUUUUUUAAAUUGUUUUAUUAAGUCGUUUUAUAUUUUUCAGUUAACUUUUCAGCUAAUUUUACCAUAUAAUAUUUUUUUUAUCAUCACCAUUUAGUAAAAACUAAAAUAUUUACUAAAACUUUAUUAUGACAAUCAUGACAUGCCUUCAACUUCAGUGAGUUAAGGUAUUUAUGCAAAAAUACUAAUCUACUACAUAAUAGAUAAUCUUUUUACUACAACAUCUUAUGCAAAGAUGUCACGCCUUGAUAAUUGAAUUGCCAAACAAUUUUCGAGAUAAUCAAAUCAUUUUGUCAUCAUUAGUUCGUAACUACUAAUUGCAUGCCACUCAAGCAUUUUAUACAACACAAAAGUAGUUUGUCUAUACAAGUUUAAACAGAGGCACAUGUUGUGAACAACCUCUAAAACUACAUGUUUACAUGUUUAACCGCCACUAUCAUGCACAUAUUGUAACAACCAUAAAAUUCGAGCCAAAUUAAAACAUUUUAAUUCAUUCAAAACCAUUAAGUUCAUACAUUUGUUUUCAAAAUAGUUUAAUCAGAGUAUUUCCAAAACCCAUAUCACAUAAGUCAUAAAACAUGAGGAGCAGUACGAUCACGCAUUCGUCUUGCCACGGUCUCCUGAAGUACCUGAAAUAAUACACUGAAACUGUAAGCCCGAAAGCUUAGUGAGUUACCCCUAAAAUACCAACCACAAUACCAUACACAUAGCAUAUCAUAUCAUAAACACAACAGUCAUUCAUAUCGAGUCUACAAUGUGACUGGUCCGCCUACACCAGGCCUUCAGUCCACCUAGUCCACUCUCUAAGUCUACAGUAUGACUGGUCUGCCCGCACCGGGCCUUCAGACUGUCUGGUCCACUCUCCGAACCUCGGCACGUCUGGUCCGUCCUCUUAGGGCCUUCCGCCUAUCCGGACCGCUCGUCGGCCCUUCGGUCUAACCGGUCCGCCCUGGGUAUGUUGGCCUACAGCACAUAGCAUGACCCGCCUCAACCCAACCUCAGUCCAAACAACCAUGUGCACAUAAACAUAUAAUCAUAUAAUAAUUCACAUCUAAUCAAACUGAUCUAGUAGAUCACAUAUCAUAGCAACAUACUAACCAGGAUACUGACCUAACCAGUCACUAACAUAGUAUCAUCCUAUAUACCAAGAUACCGACCUUAACCAGGUCUCUAACAUAGCAUCAUCAUAUAUAUACCAGGAUACAGACAUAGCAAGCAAUAACAUAUCAAACAGAUACCCAUAUUUCAAUCCGAGAAAGGGUUGGCCUUGGUGCCUUAGACCCUGUCGAUAUAGUGAGGAUAACUCACCUGCAACUGCCGACUUGAAGAAAUAAGACCACAUUGCUUCGACCACCAGCACGAACUCCACCACUGAUCAUUACCAAUUAACCAAAACCAAUAAACACGAAUAAUUACCAAAAUACCCUUGAAAGUCAAACUGGUCAACCCUUGGUCCAAGUCAAAGUCCUCAGUCAAAGUCAACCUUCCUGGUUGACCCUACUCGUCGAGUCAACCCGUUGACUCGUCGAGUUCCUAUGCUCAGAAACUCCCAUGCCACGAUUCAAAUCGCCAAGUCGCCCCAAGACUCGUCAAGUCCAACAAGCUCUAAGUCCUUUCCUGCUCAACUCACCGAGUCAUCCCUCGACUCACCGAUUCACAACUCAACCAGAAAAGGUUAGGACUUCACGACCAGACUCGCCGAGUCCAAGAACAGACUCACCGAGUCCGAGGCAAUCUUCAACAGAGUCGUCGAGUUGUUCUUCCAACUCAUCGAGUUCCUACCCAUCUUUAUACAAUUCGCCGAGUCCACCCAUGUGACUCGCCGAGUUACUAUGCGACUCAAGUCUAAUAUCUAGCCCGACUCACCGAGUCAUCUCCCAGACUCAUCGAGUCCAUACAUAACAUCUUCAUUCAGACGAUUUCAGGCCAUUUCAUUACUUCCAAAACAUAGAUCUAGACUCCUAGGGCCAGAUUCACACGUAAAGUUUCCAACUUUACGUGCAUGCAAGGCUCAACAAGCUCCAAUCAAGCUAUAAGGAGGUUUUGGGACAAAGAUACUCUAAAUCAAACCCCAUGGCUAAUGCUUUAGGCUUUCAUAGCUCACUAUUAACCUAGAUCUGAAGUUGCAACUUCAUAUCUAACCUCUAAACCCAAAAUGGGUUCCAAUCAAGCUAAAAUUCCCAAAACAACCAAGAAUGGAUCUAGAAGUAUAAAACUCAAGGUAACGACUUGUUACCUCAGAAAUGUGCCCAAGAAGAAGUAAAUUUCGAAUCUACAAUGAUCUCCCGAUGCUAGCAUCUUGAUAUUCUAACUUUCUUGUCUUAAAUUCUUCUUCCAAGCUCAAACUUUAACAAUGGAGGCUCAUACACACUAAUUAGGGUUUCUAGAACUCAAAUGGGCAGAAAAGAGGCUGAGGGUGGCUAUAAUGUUCUUUAUAUAGGGUACAACUUCCGGGAUUAGGGUUUUCUCCCUUUAGCACCAACUUGUCGAGUCCAUCUGCCGACUCGGCGAGUUGGCCACUUAACCCGUAACAAAAUUCCGCUCAGACUCGGCGAGUAAGAGGACCUACUCGUCGAGUCCCUGACUUAAUUUACACUCUACUCCCUGGAACUCUUGCUUCUAACUUGGUAUGUUACAAUUCUCCCCCACUUAAAUUAGGCUUCGUCCUCGAAGCCUGCUGCAGCACAAAAUUCCAAAAUAAUAAUCCCACGAUGAAACUUCGGAUCUCAACUGACUCAGAUUCCUCCAAACACUACCAUCAAAUCUCAUAGAAUCCAACUCUUUCUCUGUAGAUUUCUGACAAUUGCUCCAAACUGGCUACCUGCUUUCUCCUACUGAUAACAGCACUUAUCAACUCAGGGUCACCCAGAGGAUACAUUCUUAUUUCUGAAUUUUCCCACUUCGCCUCGCGCGAAACUAGAUAUCAUUACAACGUACCGGUCCUGACCCGAUACCAAUUCGUUACCCCUUGCCCAAACCGGCACUACUUCUAUUGAAUUGCACUGCUGGGAACUCAUCCCGAUUUCUUCUUGAAACAACUCUUUCUUUCCAUGCUAACAGGAUGAUAAAUCCUACAGCUCCUGAGCAACUCCUAUGAGCUCCCAUUUACAAACAUAUACACAUAUUGAACCUGAUCCAACAUCCUUGGGCUGGAAAGACCCGACACACUGACGAUACCUCCAGACAUCCCCCGGAUGAAAUACCACUACAUACAUAACCUCCUAAUCACAACCCUACUGAAAAUCCAAGACUUCAUCCUUGUAUCCCUUCCGAACUCCUCUGGUUCUACACCACCGGAAAUUCUUCCGCGGCCUCAACGGACACCCAACCCGUAUGUGCUUUCAUACCACUGGUACAAACACAAUGCUCAAUAAUCAUAAUUGGAAUACUUUCAAUCAUCCAUCCAUACUAAUGCUUCCACUGCAGUGAACCAACACUCCUUCUCGGAGCUACAUACCCUUCCCUUUCCUUAUCCAAGGAAACCUACUCGACGACCUUACCACAACAACAAGUGCCACGAUGCUCACACCCCACUCUACACUAUCCCUUAUAGAGUAACUGAUAUUCCAUGCAUCACAUAUACUCUGAAUCCGAUCACAAGGGCUAUCAAAGUCCAUACACCACAUUUUACUAACAUAAUCAAUACCCGAGGCCAGACCUACUGGUUGCUAUUGCAUCACAACAUACUCAAGCCAUCUCCUCAUAUAGACCUUUCCACACCUUUUACUAACAUAAUCAAUACCCGGGGCUAGACCUACUGGUUGCUAUUGCAUCACAACAUACUCAACCAUCUCCUCAUAUAGAUCUAUCCACACAUACAGAGUCUUUAACAUGACUGGACCGCCUUACCAGGCCUUCAGCCAAUCCAGACCAUUCUCAGAACCUUCAGCAUGUCUGGCCCACCCUCCAGGGCCUUCACUCUGUCUGGACCGUUCUCCGAGCCUUCGUGCAAUUUACUCUAGUUUUUUCUUUUAAAUUUGAUACCAAUGUUUUUGCAAAUGUUUUUGGCUUUUAACAAAUUGGUGGUAGUGAAUUGGAACACCAUUGAGGAAUACUCUAUGGCCAUUGGCGUACGUAAAUGCAUUUGGCAAAAAAAAAGUCUUCCAAACAAAGACCUUGAAGUCAACAAAGCAGACCCACUAAUCACACUCAUACACAAAAAAAAAAAAAAAAAAAAAAAAAAAAAAAAAAAAAAAAAAAAGGACAUGACUGAUGCACUAAGUAAGCAUCUUUCUUGUGGAAUUUUCCAUGAAACUUCUCCCUAUCAAAUGUAUUCAUCUUUAAUAUAAUUAUAAGUAUCUUUUAAAUCUAAAAUAAAUUACAAUCAUAUUUUAACCUAAAAUAUCUUUAAUAUAACUACUUUUAAAGAUUAAUGAAAUUAUAUACCAAUAGUUUUUAAGUAAACACACGAAUGGUGUCUGUGAUUUCAGGUAAUUAGCGUGUAUUGUUCUUUAACAGUUUUUUUAAACUUGGACGGUCCCUAUGGUUUGGUUUUGUUUCGGGUUUGGUACCCAACAAAGUUAAUAUGACUAUCUUGCACUUAAUGAUAUUUUUCUAUAAUUUUUAAUUCAUUUUUUAUUAUUAUGUUAUUAUUAAAUAGAGUAAAUUAUUAAUGUCAAAUGAUACUUCACCAAACACCAGAUGCUGCCCUUAAAACCACCUACCCCACCAUUGCAAAAGAUUGAAGGAUCCAGCCUCACACCAUUUUCCCCUCUGUUACAGACAAAAAACAACAUCAUCAUCCAUUCCUGAUGAAAAUCAAAUUCAUACCAAGUUCACUCGAUCAGAUAUAUAAUCUCAACUCUCGUAAAAAUGUUAAAAAAAAGAAAUGAAAGACAGAAUUUGACAUUACGGUUUUAUUAGACAUGACAAUUUCAACCCAUUUACUUGAAAAUAGGCACUAAAAAUGACCUAAAUAAACAAUACAAAAUGAAGCAAUUAGAAACAGUUAGUCAUGAAACAAUAUAUACAAGGUUCAGGCAAAACGUCUAAUGCACUUGAAUUAGACAGAAUUCGGGAAUAAAACAAUUUAAACACAUAAUUAAUACUGGGGAUGCGUCAAGAAAAAAUCAAAAAUUAAAAAACAUGGAAAGCAACAUAACCCAUGAGAUAAUGUAUAUAGAAGAGCUUUUUAAGGUUUCCUAGGUUAAACCAACAUAAAUAAAUAUUAUAGCAUCUCACUUUCAUUUGUUUAACCAUAACAUUGUAUUUUCAUUUUUUUUUUUCUUAUUAUGGCAUUGUGCUUUGAAAUGUGCACCCAGUUAUAAUAUUGUUCUUCAAAAAUAAUUCUUAUUAGCAUGCUGUACUUAGAAAAUCAUCCAAAUAAUAGCAGUGAGAAUUGCUUUUUACAAUGUUCAGGCAGAAUACAAUAUGCGACACUCACUCGGAAGAAGAGUUGCUGAUUUUGAGUUCUUUACCAAAUUUACAGUUAUUAAAACUGAAUAAGACUAUUGCCACAUGCUACAACUCACAUCUUUAAGGUUGUUAUUCAUUUCAGUUGCAACUAGUGCCAUCUCUAAUGUGUAUAACAUGAAAUAUCUGUGUUGACGUUUACAUGAAAAUAAACUAUUACCCUUUUUCUGUAAAAAAAAGGCAAUUGAUAUCAUGAACCAUAUCAGUCUUAUAAUCACAGCUGUAGUCGUAUUUACUUAUCGUCAUGGAAAACAAUCUAUAUCCACAAACUUGUAUUUUUUGGUCUUGGGAUAAUUUUCAAUUUUUCUUGAUCAAUAUAAGUGGUUUUGGGCUACUUUCCAUGAAAUACGUAAUUCUAUUUAAUCAGUUAGAAGUCACUACUACAAAAGACUUGGAAGCCAAUGGACAGUUUGCAGCCACAAACUGGUAAGCUCUGGGCCUCGCCUAUCUUUUUCUUUUUUUUAUCAAUCAAAAUUAAAUGGUGUAUACGGCACCUAUAGUUAGCAUGUUACAAUCAUAUUUUAUCCUAAAAUAUCUUAAAUAUAAUUAGAUUUAUACAUUAAAGAAAUUAUAUAAUAGUUUUUUGAGUAAACCACAUAAUGGAGUCCUGUGGUUUCGGUUUUGGUCCCCAACCGAGUUAAUAUGACUAUCUUGCCCUCAAUGAUAAAUUUCUGUAAGUUUUUAAAUCAUUUUUUAUUAUGUUAUUAUUAUUAAAUAGAGUAAAGAAUUAUUAACGUCUAAAAUGGACCCACCCAUCAACCCCACGUCGCUUGUCUUCAUCAGAGAAAUAUCACGGCCGCCAGUUUCAAAUUUCAAUGGUCUAAAAUGGUCACUCGUUGGAGUAAAAAGAAGUGAUCUAGGACUGUGGAGUAAAGAGACCUUGAGGAGAUAACAAGAGUGUGGGAGUGGGGGCAUUGUAGGACCCAAUGUUUUAAUAAUAAUAAAAAUAAUGUAUAUAAAAUAAUUAACAAAUAAAAAAUCUAGUAAGGGCAAAAAAGCAUUUUUAGGACAAGAAUCGUAACAAAACAAUACCACAUGGAUAGUCCGAGUUAAAUCCAACUUUGAAGUCAACAAAGUAAACCCCAAAUAAAAUAAGAAAAAAAAAACUUCUAUUUAACCAUAUCUUAAAAAAAAAAAAGGAUCAUCAAAGUAAUAUUUAUCGUUAAUUUAAUAAAUCAAAUUUGUAAACAUAAAAAUAUUGAAAACAUUUGAAAAGGAUUUGUGUGAAUAAAAGAUACCAAAUAAAGCAAACCUUACAUCAGUACAAAAGUUAACAAAAUUGAAAGAAUUACAAAUUUCUACAGGAAUACCAUAUUCCAUUCCAUCAGACACAACAAACAUACUUUCAGAAUCCAAUGUAAUAAACGAUUCCGAUUCCAUCAAACCAGAAAACGAAAAUAAAAAUUAGGGUUUACCUGAGUGUGAGCAAGAACACGGAUGACAUUGCAGUACUUCUUCAUCUUCUCCAGCUGUGACUGGAUGUCUCUCUUUCCUGUUUCAGUUUCAUCUUUCUUUGAAUAAUUUGUAAAAGCUUUCUUUUUUUGAUUUGCACUCAGAUGCUUUUAUAAAAUCUCCUCUUGAUGUCUUCACUCAGAUGCUGGGCCCACACUGUGUUCGAGCUGCGGAGCCCACGUGGGGUCUUGACAUACCCCAACAACCACCAUUGGGGGUGUUUCAAUGAUUGUCACUGCCUCACAUGUCUCUUUCUUGUGGAGUUCUAAGAUAAAAGGAAUGAAAAUUUAUUACACAUAAAGUAGUAAAUAGUAUGCUAUCCUUCUGAACUUUUAUGGUAUUUAUCGAUGAAGUGCAGAGAAGUAAAAAUUAGUUGGUAAAUUGUAUUUACAGUCGCCAAGUUUAGCUGAUUUUUCAGUUUUAGUACAAAGAAGACCACAUGUAAUUUUGGUCCUUAUUUUGAGGUUUUGGUAAUACUCUGUGCCUCUUUUUUUAAAUAUAUACCAACACCAAAACAUAAGAGAUUAUGGUUAACGGAAGAGAAAUAUAACAAACAUUUUAAAAUUGAAACCUUUAACAACAUCCACAUUACAAACAUAGAUACAAAUAGUUUCAUUAAAACAAAAACUUCAUUGAUAACAUAUAUCUGAGAAUUACUUGCAUUCCAGAGCGCCUAUACAGCUUCUCUUCCUCUCUUGAUCUUGGCAACGCUUACCAUGACUCCAACGUAUAUCUUGUCCAUGAUUUUCUCAACAAACAUGAAAAGCCUCCAUCUCCACUGCUUCUUCAACAACAGAACUCCAAUUACACCCCAAAAACCUGUUGCAAAUCCACUCAUGAUGUCUGAGUAAAACCACCAUACCUUGAUUGACUCCUCAGCUGCUUUAUGUUUCUUCUUGGGCUUUGCUGUUGUUGUUGGGUCUUGAUGAUCUGAGCAAUUGUUUGUCAAUGGAGGUCCACAAAGAUCUCUGUUCCCAGAAUAUAUUGAUGGAUCAUCAUUAAGGGUCUGCAACUGAUGGCCUGUUGGAAUUCGUCCCCACAAGUUGUUGUGUGACAGAUUCAGAUGGCUCAAAAAAGUCAAAGCUGCCAUGCUUGGAGGGAUCGUCCCGGUCAACUUGUUUCCAGAUAAAUCAAGAGAUUCUAACCUCGUCAUGUUCCCAAUGCUGUCUGGAAUAUUCCCACUGAGAUCAUUAUUUGACAAAUUGAGACCCAACAACAUACGAAGUGCAGUUAGCUCCACUGGUAUAUCUCCAACAAGUUUAUUGCUUGAAAGGUCCAUGUUAUAAACUAUAUCCAAAAUUCUUGCAUAUACAAGAUCAACACCUUUCAUAACCGGAAUCACAUUCUCAUUAGAAUCAGCCCAACCAUUAUUGUCAUACCACUUUUCUGCACCAUUAACCAUUGCAUUCAACUCUCUUAGGCAAUGAGGGAUGAUACCCGUUAAGUUGUUGUAUGCAACAUCCAAAAUUUGAAGAUUUGACAUUUUGCAUAAAGAUUCAGGAAUUUCCCCGGUAAAGUUAUUCUUGUGUAAUCUUAAAACAAUCAAACUUGUCAGGUUUUCUCCAAUCCAGUGGGGUAUCUUUCCAAACAAUUGAUUAUCACCCACAUCUAGGACUCUUAAAUAUCUUAAAUUCCCCAACUCUUGAGGAAGUUCACCAGUAAAGUUGUUGUCAUUUAAUUUUAACCAAUGCAAUGAUGAAUGACUAAGUGCUAUAUAGCUUGGAAUGACACCUGAAAGUAAAUUUGAGCUAAAGAUCAUGGCACCCAACCAUUUCAGAUUCUGGAGACACUUGGGAAUUUUCCCUGUUAACCUAUUUCUGGAAAGAUCAAGUAAAACUAAAUCUGUCAUUCUGCACAACAACUUUGGAAUUGACUCAUUGAAAAUGUUAUUUGCUAGUAUUAAUGCCAGUCCUAUUUCUGGAAGGUUUGUCAAUGGUCCGCUGAGUUUGUUGUGAGAGAGAUCUAAGAAAUCAAUGACAGGCAUCUUCCGCAACCAUGUGGGCAGAGGUCCCGAAAUUGAAGCAUUCGACAACACUAACUCAGAGAGCAAGAACUGAUUUCGUAGCCACUGUGGCAAUCCAUUUGUGAGAUUGCAGGAACUGAGAUCAAGAUGAUACAACUGGAAUGGAGGUAUCCACUCACGUGAGACAUUGAAUGCCAACUUGGUGUUAGAAGAAGCAUCCAAGUGCUCCAACAUCGAAAGGUUAGCAAAAUGGGCUUCAGAAACUACUCCUUCUACGGAAUUGUCUGAGAUAUCUAGAUAUUUGAGUUUGGCAAGUUGCCCAAUUGAAACCGGAAUAGUCCCAUUUAACAAAUUUGAAGAAAGAAAAAUAUCUUGUAAUGCAACAAGUCUUCCUAGAGAUGCUGGGAUGGGGCCCGUUAACCGAUUGGAUCCUAGAUUCAAAUGUGUUAAAGCUGAUAAAUUUCCAAAGGAUUCUGGAAUUGAACCAUUCAAUUGGUUGGAAGAAAGGUCAAGUCUGGAAAGAUUCCCAAUGAAUGUAGGAAUGGGACCGAUCAACUGGUUAUUAGAUAGAUCUAACAUUUCUAAAUGUCUUAGUCUUCCUGCAAAUUCGGGGAUUGGACCUGUCAAACUGCUCAUUGAUAGAUCUAAGUGUCUUAAAUCGGUUAGUCUUCCAAGUGCUUCUGGAAUCGUACCAUUCAAAGAACCACUUAAAUCCAACGACUCCAAAGCAUAUCGGGAGCAUUCCGAUGUGUUUUGUGGUGAGUCAUUCAUUUCUAUUUCAAAAAGAUUUCCAUAUGCAGCCAAUGUUUUCAGGUGACAGUGUCUCCAGAUUCCAACAUCCUCAAUAUUCUUAAAAUGGUUAGAAGAAAGAUAAAGCUCUAGAAGGUCAGGCAUAAUUGGAACCCAAGAAUGCAGCAUGUUUCCUGAGAGAUCAAGGACUCUUAAGGAACUCAUGUUUGUGAAAAAAGAUGGAAUUAUGCCUUCAAUUGAAUUUUGGCUAAGAUCCAGGUGUUGUAUGUUAGAAAGCAUACUGAUAUUAAAAUGAGCGGAGGAUAGAAAAGUCUUAUUAUCUAGCCAACAACUUGAAAAAUGCAGCUCUGAUAAAGAGGAAGGGAUCAUGUUUAGCAAGUUUGCAAAGUUCCAUGACAAACUAAGAUUAAAACCAGAAAGAUCCAGAAAUUCAAGGGAUGUCAUGUUUUGGAAAAAUCCAGGGAGUGAAGUUUUCAAAGAAUUAAAGCCAAGAUCAAGGUGUUGUAUGUUGGCAAGAAUUCUACUCGAAUUAAGAAAAGGACCAAGAUGGACAUUGGAAAGUCCACAACCAUGCAAACUUAACUCUUUUAAUGAACGAAGAUUGUAAAGCACCUUGUCCCAACCACUAAGAUUCAACCAACUCAAGUCAAGAUGCUCGAGUGAUGAAAGGCCAAAAGUCCAUGACAUAUCAUCUGACAUCAGCUCACCAUUCCAACUGAGAUCCAAAACCUUUAAAUUAGAAAGAUUUCCAAUGUGAGGAGGAAUAAUACCUUGAAAACCAGCAGCAGAGAGAUUGAGGUACAUCAGCUGUUUGAAGGAUCCAAUGAACUCAGGGAACCGGCUUCCUCCAAAAUCAUUCCGACUCAAGUCCAGGUACUUGAGAUGCCUCAACUCAGCCAAUGAAGAGUUCACCGCAUUACCAACUAAGUAGUUGUCUCCUUCGCUACCAUAAUAGUAAUCUCCAUUGAGAUUGAGGCUGUCAACGGUUCCAGUGAGACUGUCACAGUGGAUUCUUUCCCACAGGCAACAAUCCUCCCCCACCCAUGAUGACAACAUUCCAGAAGUAUCUUCAACACUCCCUUUGAACUUGAGAAGAGCAAGUCGCUCUUUUUGAGAGCAGGCGACACUGACAUUUCCAACACCAAAACAAGAAUAUUUGUUUGCAACCAAAAAAACACAUACGAAAAUGAGAUGGAUCCCUAAACCCCUCCGAAUUCCCAUUAUUAACCCUCCUUAACUAACUUGGUUUAAUUUAGAAGGAAGUUGAAGUGGAGAGAUAGGUUGUUACAUUGAAGAAACUACUGCAUUUAUAAUGCCAUAAAUGAAAAACAACUUAUUUCCAUGAAAGACUAGAAGUUAAUGGACAUUUGGAUGCACAAGUUGUAUUUUUGUGGUACACAUGGUAGAUGCAAUUGUAAAUGGAAACAAUUCUUUUAAAAAUAUAAAAUAAAUGAAACCCAAUAAUUGACAAACAAGCAUUUAGAUUUUCAAGAAGUCUAAGAUUAUUUUAUAAUAUUUUGUAAAUAGUAGUUAUAAAUUAUAAAAUUAAUUUUGAUGUUCAAUCAUUUUACAAAACUAACUUCAAGAAAAUAAGUUUUUUGUUAUUAUUUGACUUGACAAGGUUGAUGUGUCAAGCUUAAUUAAAAGAUACAUUAUGUAACUCCACAUUAAAGAUAUUAUAUAUUUUUUUUUUAUAAAAGAUGUGUUUUCUCAAAUGCAUUACAAUUUCAUUAGACAUAACAAUUUCAACCCAUUUAAUUGAAAAAUAGGUAUUUGUUAUAUUAAUAAUAAAAAUACCUAUUUUCAUAAUAAUAUAAAUAGAUAAAUAAAGAGACGUUGAGGAGAUAAAAACGGGGCGGGUGGGGGUUGGGGAAUUUAUGGGAUCCAAUAUUUUAAUAAUAAAAAAAUAAAGUACAAAAAAUAAUUAAAGAUAUAAAAAAUCUAGUGAGGGAAAAAAUGUAUUUUUAGGGCUGUUAGGGAUAAAAAUCAUAAUAAAACAAUACCACAUGGAUGGUCCGACUUGAGAAAUAAUAAUAUUAAAUAAGGGACCAAGCAUACACAUUACCUUAAACCAUAGGGACCAUUCAUGCAAUUUACUCUAGUUUUUCUUUUAAAUAUGAUACCAAUAUUUUUAGAAUUGUUUUUGGCUUUUCACAUAUCGGUGUUAGUGAAUUGAAACACUAUUGAGGAAUAGUGUAUGGCCCAUGGCACAUGUAAAUGCAUUUGGCAAAAAAAAAAAAAAUCUUCCACACAAAGACAUUGAAGUCAGCAAAGUAAACCCACUAAUCACACCCAUAAACAAAAAACAUGGAGGACACGAAUGAUGCACUAAGUAUGCAUCUUUCUUGUGGAAUUUUCCAUGAAACUUCUCUGUAUUCCUCUUUAAUAUUAUUAUUUGUAUCUUUUUAAUCUAAAAUAAAUUACAAUCAUAUUUUAACCUAAAAUAUCUUUAAUAUAACUACAUCUAAACUUCCAUAAACACGUUAAAAAUAGAAACGAAAGAAAAAAUGCACAUAAACCAUCACUGUGGUAGUUCACAGGAAGCACAAGUUUAGGGACAGUAGAAACCAUAUCAGGUACUUAAUGAUCUUACACUUACACAUGUGCAAACUUUGACAACAUGCAAUGCCUACUGAAAAAGGUUUAUUUACUAAUGCGAAUUAAAAAAUAAAAAAAUCUAUUGACCUACAAUAAUUAUGGUAUCAUGUACCAGUAGAUAUCAAUACAAAACCUAAUCUAAUAAUAUUGGGAGCAAUUACACACAUACAUUAUGCAUAUAUAAUAUGUGGCCUAGUAAAACUAUGCACACAUAAAUAAAUAAAAAUUCAUUUGUAGGAACUGCUUUCAUAGCAUAUGAAGAAGAACCAGUUCCAAAUAUAGCAGCAAUACGAAAACCUGUUUUUAUUUUUCCAAUUUUCACACAGUAAACAAAAGCAAGAGAAAAUAGAGGCUUUUCACGAGCACAGGUCAACAUAGGACUAUAGUCUAUAGGUGAUUCGUUGAUACAAUAAAAAAAUACAAACACUUUUAAGUAUCAAAGGAUCUACUGAGAAGCAGAGGUUUAAUUGAGCUUGAAGCAUUUCCUCCCUUAAACAGGUAAUUACAGAUUACGUGGUGACAUUAUAUCUACCAUUAGGAGCUGCAAGUGUGUUGAAAAACAGAGGCUAUCACCAUCUGCUUAUAUGCAUCAUUACCUUCUCUGUGUUACAGGUCCCAAUUUGUGUGACAAUUAGGUCAGACAGAAUCAUAAAAGUAUAGAUGGAUCAUUUUCCCAGUAUACAUCAAUGCAAUUGGAUUAUAUUACACAUAAAAACAUAUAUGCAUCGUUUUCAAUAGCCCUAAAUUACUAUCUUUUUUAUCUUACAGGUCCCAAUUUGUGUGCUGAAUUUUCUUAAAAAAACAAAUACAGCAAAGUUCAUAAAAUAUAGAGAAUUAGGUCAAAGAAAAAAAGAAAAUCGGAAAACAUACCAAGUGAACACCAUAUGAAUCGGUAGUGUAGGCUUCGCCUUUUCCCCGUUCUCGUCUACUUCCAGGUGACGAUAGUUUUGAGAGUACUCGAAAUUUGGGGGAAAUUUUGUUACAAGUAAAUUACAAAUUUGGUCCCUUAGGUUUCGUUUUGUUACAGAUAUAUAACCCAUUUAGUAAAAUCUAGGAUUAAUUACAAAUUUGGUCAUUUUUGUAUUAUGUCAAAAUCUAUAAUUUUCAAAACUAUUUCUUCGAUGGACCAUUUAUGUGUAAGGUCCUCAAAAUGAGGUCAAGCAAAUAGAAGUGAGUUAAAAUGCUUAAAGGAAGAAGAAGUGAUGUUGGGUUACUACCAUAAAAAUAAAGUAUGAUGUUAUUAUAAAUAUUUUUAUAUUUUUGUAAUCAUUACAUUAAAUUUGGAGAUUCAUAGUAACUUAAACCUAAAAAUUAUUAGGUGUAAAAGUCCUAUAAAUUAUAUAUAUAAAGAGGACUGAUAUGGUUGGGAUCCGAAAUGAAAGUUGUGAGAAUGAUAUAGUAUUAAUUACAUGAUAGCAAGGGAAAAAUAAAUAAAAAUAAUAAUUUUGUUUCUUUAUUACUAGUUAAGGGGUACCAAUUGGUAGGGGAUCACACAAACACACACUUCUCUUGUGUACACCUUGUAAUCGAUAUAUAAACAACAAAGAAUGAGGUACUUGUGGUUGGCAAAUUAUAGGAUUUUUCAAGUUCAAUAUUCAUGUUUGAGGUCCAAGUCCAACAAUGACAAGAUAUAAAAUUAAUGUUUAUAUGUUGGAAAGGAUGAUAUAAAUCUAUUUUUUUCAAUGUGUAAUUAUGUGUGAAAUAGAAGAAUAUAUGAUCAAAAAAAUAAUAAUGUGUGACAUGUAGAUAUAGCUUGAAUUGGUGAAAUAUUAUUUUAUGGAAGGUUAAUUGCAAAUUAAGGAAAAAUUGGUCCAUAAAUGGAUAGCAUAUCUUGUUUGGGUAAAGGUCAAGGAAAAUGGACACGUAAAUAAUUUGAGAAUGAUUUGUCAAAGUGUUGAAUAAAAAAAAAAUGUAUGUAAACAAAGAUACUUGACAAGUUGGAAAUGUUGGUUAAUUUCAUAUUGGAAAGUAGGACGCUAAUUUCCUUGUAUAUGUAAAGUAAACAUAACUAUAAGUGUAUCUGUAUUAAAGUGAACUUGAAAUAACAUAUGAUGAUGCAAGAAUGAAAGAAAGAUGAAAGUUGUAUCUAGUAAGUAAUGUAUUACUUGAAAUGGUAUGGAUAGGAUCAUCACAGACAUGGAAAAAAUAAAAUAAGAAUUCAUACUCAAGAUAUGUAGAUACAUGUGUUUGAUCCUCCAAUAUCACUCAAAUUGAAGUUAAAGUUGAUGCUUCUUGUAUUAGAGUUAUAAAUAUCCACUGUUAAUAUUAAGUUGAAUACAAAUACAAUAAUGGUAAAAUCUUUAUUAAUUACUGAUGAAAACACAUUAAAGAAACUAUGUUCACAGCAUAAAUCUGCAUCGAUACACUGUAAAAGGAUCAUACACCCAAUGCAGAAACCAAGAUAAUGAUAAUGAUGUUAAACAUCAUGAAUUACAUAUGAAUUCCCUCUGAUAUCUUAUAUCUUAAUCAAAGAAUUACAUCAAAAUAUAUACAAAACAAGUAACAAAGGCAUAUUACCAGAUCAGAAAAUUGAAGGAGAAACAAGACAACAGAAACAUAUAAAGAAAGAGAAGAUGAGAUUAACACAGUGAACCCAUGAUGAUUAUGGAAUCAGUUGUGGUGUUUGAAGCAGAACCAAACCAUCAACCUAAGAUGUAACCCUAAUCUAAUCUAACAACUUCAUCUUGUAUAAAUACCGAAUCAAACAAACAUUUCAAAAUUAACACCUUUUAAUACCAUCUAUAUCACAAAUCUCAUAAAAAUCUAAAAUCCAAAUAGUAUUAUAAACAAGCACAAUAUCAAUAUUAAAAGGACUGUUAAUCCUUAAUUGAUGAUAUAUAUUUAAAAAGGAUCUAUGCGUCUUCUCUUUGUCUCUUCAUUUUGGCAACUCUUACCAUGACUGCAACAUAUAUCUUGUCCACGGUUUCCUCAGCAAACAUGAAAAGUUUAUGUCUCCAAUGUUUCUUGAAUAACAAAACUCCUAUAACACCCCAAAACCCUGUUGCAAAACCACCGAUUAUGUCCAAAUAAAACAGCCAUAUCUUCGUGGGCUCGUCGUCUGCUUUGUAUUUUUUGUCGGGCGUUGUUGUUGGGUCUUCAUGAUUUAAGCAAUUCUUUGGCAAUGGAGAUCCACACAGAUCUUUGUUCCCAGCAUAUAUUGAUGGAUCAGUAAGUGUCUGCAAUUGACGACCUGUUGGAAUUUGUCCAGACAAGUUGUUGUAUGAAAAAUUCAAACGGCUCAAAAAAGUCAGAGCUGCCAUGCUUGGAGGUAUCCUCCCUGUUAAUAUAUUUUUUGAGAAAUCGAGAGAUUCUAACUUCGACAUGUUUCCAAUGUUGUCGGGAAUACCCCCACUGAGAUGAUUAUUAGACAGAUUAAGACCCACCAACAUCGAAAGUGCAGUUAGCUCGAUUGGUAUUUCUCCAACAAGUUUAUUGCUUGAAAGGUCUAUGCUAAAAAGUAUACCCAGAAUUGUACCAUAUUCAAGUUCAAGACCUUUUAUGACCUCGAUCACAUUCUCAUUGUAACCGUAUUGCCAAAGAGGCGAAUGUACCCGACUACUAUUAAACAUCGCAUUCAGCUCGCCUAGACAAGGAGGGAUAGCUCCCGUUAAGUUGUUACAUGCAACAUCAAGAACUUGAAGAUUUGAAUCUUUGCAUAAAGAUGGAGGAAUUCUUCCGGAGAAGUUGUUUUUGUGUAACCUCAAAACUACCAAAGAUUUAAGUUUUUCUCCAAUCCAUUCAGGUAUACUUCCGGAGAACUUGUUAUCACCCAAAUCUAAGACACUUAAAUAUCUUAAAUUCCCCAACUCUUGGGGAAGUUCACCACUAAAGUUAUUGUCAUUCAAACUUAAUCGGAUUAAUGAUGAAGAAUUAAGUGCUAUAGAACCUGGGAUGACACCAGACAACCGAUUUGAGCUAAAUCUCAUGGCAAGCAAGUUUUGGAGAUUCUCAAGACACGUGGGGAGUUUCCCGGUUAACAUGUUUCUGGAGAUAUCAAGAAAUAUCAAACUUGUCAUUCUGCAUAAUGAUCUUGGAAUCGACUCAUUAAAACGGUUACUUUGAAGGAAUAAUUUUCUCAUAGAUCCAUAUUCAUUAGGAAGAUUUCUCAAAGGACCCUUAAUUUCGUUGUAAGAGAGGUCUAAGAUACUAAUGACGGGCAGCUUCCGCAACCAUGUGGGCAGAGGUCCCGAAAUUGUAGCAUUCGACAAGAUUAACGCCUCAAGUUUCCUUUGAUUUCUAAGCCACUGUGGGAAUCCAUUUGCAAUAUUGCAAGAACUGAGUUGAAGAAUUACCAAUUGGAACGGGGGUAUCCAUUCACGUGAAACAUUAAAUGUCAACUUAGUGUUAUAAGAAGUAUCUAGUUCAGUCAACAUCGCAAGUUUACCAAAAUGGGCUUCAGAAACAACUCCUUCUAAUGAAUUAUUAAAGAUAUUUAGAGAAUGGAGUUUGGAAAGUUGCCCAAAUGAAAUUGGAAUAGUCCCAUUUAACAAAUUUGAAUGCAACGAAAUUGCUUUUAGUGAAACAAGUCUUCCUAGAGAUGCUGGGAUAGGGCCGGUUAACUGAUUGACUUCUAGAGACAAAUCUGUUAAAGCGGUUAAUUUUCCAAAUGACUCUGGAACUGAACCAUUCAAUCUGUUAAAAGAAAGAUCGAGUUUGGAAAGUUUCCAAUGAAAUGUUGGAAUGGGACCAGUUAACCGAUUGAAUUGUAGAUGCAAAUCUGUUAAAGUUGCUAAGUGGCCAAAGGAGUAUGGAAUUGAACCAGUCAAUUGAUUGAAAGAAAGGUCAAGUUUGGAAAGUUUCCCAAGGAAUGUAGGAAUGGGACCCAUCAAAUCGUUAUUGGACAGACAUAACUCCUCUAAGAAUCUUAAUCUUCCUAGAGAUUCGGGGAUUGGACCUGUCAAUCCACUGUAUGAUAAAUCUAAGACUCUUAAAUUCAACAACAGACUUCCAAGUGGUUUUGGAAUUGUACCAUUUAAACUCCCACGUAAAUCCAACCUCUCCAAAGAAUAUCCGGAGCAUUCCGAUAUGUUUUUUUGGUGAGGCGAUCAUCUCUAUAUCAAAAUCAUUUCCUGAUGCUUUCAAUCGUUUCAGGUGACACUGCCUCCAGAUUCCAACCUGCUCAAUCUGCUUAAACUUGUUAAAAGAAAGAUCAAGGUCCAGAAGGUUUGGCAUAAUAGGAACUGAAGAACUUAACAUGUUUUUUGAAAGGUCAAGAACUCUUAAGGAACUCAUAUUUGUAAAAAGUGAUGGAAAUAUGCCUUCAAUUGAAUUUUUGCUAAGAUCCAGGUGUUGGAUGUUAGAAAGUGUACUGAAAUUAAGAUGAGGGGCAGAUAGGUGCAUGUUAUGGAGCCCACAAAUUGACAAAUGCAACUCUGAUAAAGAAGGGAUCAUGUCUAACAAGUGUUGAAAGUUCUGAGAAAAACUAAGAUCAAACCCUGAAACAUCUAGGAAUGUUAGGGAUGUCAUGUUUUGAAGAAAACUAGGGAGUGAACCUCUGAAAGAAUUGAAGCCGAGAUCCAGGUGUUUGAUGUUGUGAUGUAUUCUACUUGAAUUAACAGUGGAACCAAGACCAACAUUGGAAAGUCCACAUUUUGACAAACUUAUCUCUUUUAGCAGAGGAAUCAUGAAAAGCACCAUGUCCCAGUUUUGUGCUCCAGCAAGAUUCACCAAACUUAAGUCGAGAUGCUCGAGUGAUGAAAGGCCAAAAGUCCAUGCCAUAUCAUCCGCCAUGAGCCGUCUAUUUGAACUGAGAUCAAGAACCUUUAAAUUAGAGAGAUUUCCAAUGUGAGGAGGAAUAAUACCAUGAAAACCAGCGUAAGAGAGAUUAAGGUACCUCAGCUUCGUUAAGGAACCAAUGAAAUUAGGGAUCCGGCUUCCUUGAAAAUCAUUCCCACUCAAGUCUAAGUAUUUUAGAUGCCUUAACUCCGCCAACGAAGAGCUCACCUCAUUACCAACUAAAUAGUUGUCAACAGUGUAAGAAUAAGAGUCCCGAUCUCUUCUCAGAUGAAGUCUUUCAACAUCUCCAGUGACACCAUCACACUGAAUUCCUUCCCACCUGCAACAAUCACUGCCAAUCCAUGAUGACAACAUUCCAGAAGGAUCUUUGAUGUUGUGUUUGAACUUAAGAAGAGCAAGACGCUCUCUCUGAGAGCAAACAACAGAGAUAUUUCGAACACCCAAACAGGUAUACGUGUUUGCAAGAAAAACUAUACUUGUGAAAAUGAGAUGCAGCCCCAAACCCCUUGGAUUCCCCAUUAGCAACCCUUCCUAAUUAACUUGGUUUUUUUUUUCGAAAAAAUAAUGAAGUGGAAAGAUGAGUUCUUAUGAUGAACUGGUGGGUUUUUAUGAUCAAGAAACUACUUUAUUUAUAAACCCUGAAUUGAAAGCAACUUGCUGCCAUCAAAGACUUGCAAGUCAAUGGACAUGACUUGGAAAAUUUGGAAGUCAAUAGACAAAUUCUAUCCACUGGCAUAUUUUUCUUUUUCUCAAUCAAAAUCUGGUGGGGUGUGUGUAUGUGUGUGUGUGUGUGUGUAUAUAUAUAUAUGUGUAUAUAUAUAUAUAUAUAUAUAUAUAUAUNNNNNNNNNNNNNNNNNNNNNNNNNNNAGGAAAGAGAAAUAUGAAAAAAAGAACUGACAUCUGUGACAAAUACUUUAAUUUGACAGAAUAUGACCUCUAUACAAAUUUUACAUUAAUCCUCAACUUUCAUUUUUUUUAUCGCCUAUCUAAAGUACCUUUUUAUGUUUUAGAGGUAACAAUUUCAACCAAUACAUGUAUUUCUAAAUAUAAAGUUUCAUUCAAGUACUUUUAAGUCUACAUAACUACACCCUUGACUUUUACAUGAGGGAUUAAAGAACUAAGUUGCAGAAAAAGAAAGUUAUUGACUAGCUAACUUUACUUUGAAAUUUACACAAAAUUACAAACUUGACUUUGACAUUUAAAGGAUUAUAAAACUAACUAUGUUGCAGGAAAAGACAGCUAUUGAUGAUUAUUUGACUUUAAGGGUUAUGUUUCAAGCCCAAUAAAAUACUAUUUAGGGCUAAAUGACCAUCUAGAAACCCACUUUCGUUCAUUUCUCACUACAGCCAAUAUAGAUUUUAUGCACAAUACUAAGUUACUAACACACUCAUUUCCAUUUUGGGCCAAAAUGACAUAUAUUUCCCUAAAGCUGUUUUUUUUUUUGUUGACUUGUGAUCUUAUGCCUAUGUUAUGGUAGAAGAGAACAAAAUGACACACAUCAAUUGGUCCAUGCAAUACAUACAUACAUAUGGGCAAGUGCAUCUGUGCAUGGGAACUGAAAGAUAGUACGUGUUUGAUCUCAGCUGUUAAAUAAAAAGAUCCGAUGGACACCAGACUAAGAAAGCCUUGACAAUUAUUGAACCUGAGAUCUCACUUAGCAGAGUUAGAUUAUUUCCCCACAACUCUUUACACAAUAACUUUGAAGUAAACACGUACACACAAACGUAGUGACAUGAUGAUUGAUGCUGCACCUAGCAUCUUUCUGGUAGAAUUUUAAAUGCUACUUCCUAACAGCGCUUUCGAUAUAGGAUAAAAUUUUUAAGAGAAGUGUCAAACAUUUUUUUUAAAAUAAUGAAAUACAUAAGGCUUCAAUUUUCUAAUACAAAACCGUAUGAUGAUUAAUACACCUUUAUAAAAUUCAAAACAAUAAUUGUUCAACAAACUUCUAAAAAUGAAGAUUAAUCUCUACUUUACUGAACAUUAUCACAACAAAACAAAAGAAAAAAUGCACAAAAACCAUUACUGCAGAAGUUCACUGUGGUCAACAGGUUUCCUUAAUUGGGCAUUUUGGAAAUUUGAUUAAGGGUAACAUUUUUUAUCAAAUUAGAUGUCAAGCAUAUAUGGCAUUUUUUCGCACGGAGGGAGUAAGUAUCUACUGUUUUAACACUGAUUAUUUGGGUGUUUAUAGUACUCUUAGAUUAGCAUUCAUUUAUCCCUACAAACUAAACAAUUUCAUAUCAAUUUUUAAAUAGGAAGUAAUUAAUUGGCAAACCAAGGUGGGUUCCAGGCAUCGCCUUACGGAAUGAUUAUGUGGAUGAUGGGCAGCUAUUCAGAGUAAAUAAUUUAAUAACUUGAAGCAUAUGUCAGCAUGAAUCCAGAAGGACCAUCAUCAUCUCUUUGUGCUUUUUUUUUAUGGCUGAGCUACAAGAGCUCAUUUCUUCCCCAUAAUGCCACUGAUAAAAGGUUCUACUGAGAAGCAGGGGAAACACUUGAGUUUUAAGCAUCUCCACCUGUUUAACAGGUAUUAACAGAUAAUGAGUUUGACAUUAUAUCUACCAUUAGGAGCUCCAAAAGUGUUGCAGAACAAAGUCCAUCACCAUCAGCUUAUAUGAAUCAUCAUAAAAUCGCAUGAUUUCGAUCUUCUAUGUCUUACAGGUCCCAAUUUUGUGUGAGAAUUAGGUCAGACAGAAAUAUAAAAACUUAGAAGCAUCCCAAUACGAUGCAUCCGUUUCUACCAUGCUAAAUUACUAGGUUCAAAUUUGUGUGUUUUGUUGCAUGUUAAAUUUUUUGUAAAAACUAAAUAGAGUAAGUUCAUGAAAUCAAUAAGAAAUUAGCGCAAAUAGAAAAAGAAUUGGAAUACCCAGCGAACAUCGAUGACUCGAGAAUUAAGAAGGAUAGAGAUAAAACAGAUUCGCCUUUUCCCCUGUACACAACUACUACUUCGCUGGAGGAAGCAUUCCUUUCGAGAAGAACUGGAAGUUUGGGGAAAUGUGUUUUUUUAAUUAAAAUACAAAACGGGUUCUUUUUUUUUUUUUUUUUUAAAUGACAUGUUUUGUCCAGAUUAACUUUUUUCUUACAAAUUUUUCUUUAAAGAACAUUUUAUCUCAAAUUCCAAAAGAUAAUAUACCAGAGGACCAAACUUGUAUUUUACUUAUAGUUUCAUGAGUAAACUCUUUUUUCUUAAUUAUAUGAUGUUUUACGUUUAAUGUGUAAUUAUAUCAGAAGUAUAAGUUUCUAAACUGUUUUACAUUUAUCCAAUAACAAAAGAUUUACCGCCUAAUAGUAUUAAAAGUUGACAAAAAAUUAAUCAUCAGUUAAAUGUUAAGGUUCAAGUCUCGUUUAUAGCAAAAUGUAUACAUUUAUAAGUAUAUAUGUUAGAUGGUUCUAAUUUCUUUUAGAUAUUUAUUGAAUAUGAUAGAUUUUAGACAAAAUUACAUAAGUGGUCCUUGAGGUUGAUCCAAUUGACCAACUUUGGCUCUUAUGACAAAUUUUAUGUGUAGAUAGUUCAUAUGGUUUUAAAAUCUUGCAAAGAUAUUCCUUUUGACUAAAGAUGUUAGCUUUUUCAAUUAAGUUCAUUGUGAAAUGAUCUAUUUGCCAUUCAUUCCAUACGGACCAUUUAUGUAAUUUGUUCUAUCCAUAGGGACCGUUUAUGUAACUUUCUCUAUUAUUUUUUUAUUUAAUUUAUUUAUAUUCUAUGAUUUAGAAUUUUCUUAACGUUUUGUUUGAAUAUAUUCUUGAUUUUUUUUUAAAAAAUCACUUGCAUUUUUUGAUUUUGGUUCGUGUAAUUUUUUGACAAAAUUGCAAAAAUAGUCCCUGUGGUAUGUAUUUUUUUGGGGUUUUAAUCCAAACAGUGACUUUUUUGGAUUAGUGGUCAUUUUGAGAUAGUUUGUAUGUGAAAAUAGUCCCUCCAAAAAUUGAAAUGACUAUAAUACCCUUGGGGUAUUUAUUUUUCAUUUUUCUUUCAUUUUUAUAAAUUAAAUAUUUAUUUAUUUACUUUAACAAUUAAAAAAUAAUGGAGGACCCACCUCUCUCUCUCUCUCUCUUCUCUUUUUCUCUCUCUCUCUCUCUCUCUCUCUCUCUCAUCCCGAGCUAUCACUUCAUCACACACACACACACAAACAGACGAACCUUCCCUCUUCUUUCAAUAUCCACCCUUCUCCCCUGAUUUGUUAUUUUUUUUUAAAUUACACUUCGUCAAUUCAUCAAUUCCCCUAGAUUCGAUUCGAUCUUCGAGGAUGGAAUGAUCAGUUUUUCGGAAAAAACAUUCAUUCUAUUUUCACCAUUCUUGUUCAUCAAAAAGUCGAUUUACCCACCUGUUAUCUCUCCAUACUUCUCCCUUCCUCUAAUUUUGAUGGGGGAAUUGAUUAAUGGGUUGUUCUUGAUUUUGGUUUGGUGUUGGUUACAUGUUUUAAUUUUUAUCUGGGAUGAGUUCAGGGGGGAGAUAAUGAUGGUGAAGAAGAAUAGGUAGGAGGGAAGAGGAAGUUGAUGAGUCGAGAUUAGGGGAGGAACCAAAAGACACACACAUACAUGGAUUUCUGGUGUAACUAGGGAACCUUCAUCCUUGCUCAAAACUGAUGAAGAUGAAACCUUCAUCCCUAUUCAAAAACCAUUACAGGACGUCAACUAAAUCAAAGAUUAAGGUUUCUUGCUCUAAAACCCUUAGAGAACCUGCAACUAAAUCAAAGGUUUGACAUUUAAAAAUAAACCCAUAUUUCAACGGUUUCAUUGUGUGUGCCCUGAAUUAAAAAGAAAUCUGGAAUUCAUAUGGGUUCUUGAAGAAAUAAACUUGAACGGAAUCAAAAUAGAAGUAUGAAAUAAAACUAAAAACUUGAUUGAAAACAAAAUCAGAGUUGUUCCAUGGGUUUUUGGUUCUGGUUAGAGGGAGAACCAAAAUCGAAAUCGACACCAUAAACAAAAUCAAACCCAAAUAAAGAUCAGUGUGUGUGUCUCUUCCCCAUGGUGUUUGUGAUCAAUGGUGACAAGGGAUGAUUACCUCGGUGCAUGUUUUUGUUGUGGGGUUUUCAGUGGUGCAGCGUCGGUGGUUGAAGAAGGAAGCUUGGGUUCAACAUUCUUGAUGUAUGGAUGAUGGUGGCUAAAAGGAAGAUGAUGAAUGUCGAUGAUCUGAAGUGUGUGUGUUUGCUUGAGAGAGAGAGAGAGAGAGAGAGGGGUCCUCCAUUAUUUUUUAAUUGUUAAAAUAAAUAAAUAAAUAUUUAAUUUAAAAAAAAUGAAAGAAAAUGAAAAAUAAAUACCCCAAGGGUAUUAUAGUCAUUUCAAUUUUCGGAGGGAUUAUUUUCACAUACAAACUACCUCAAAAGGACCACCAAUCCAAAAAAAAUCAUUGUUUGGAUUAAAACCCCAAAAAAUGCAUACCACAAGGACCAUUUUUGCAAUUUUGUCUAAUUUUUUUAAAUUCUUUUUUGACAUUUUAUUCAAAUACAUUUAUGACAAAACUUCAAAAAUGAUCACUGUGGUUUUCAAAAAUAUCAAGUUUAGUCCCUAAUUUCAAUGUGAUUAAUAUUAAAUAUCUGGUCAGUAGUGGAACCUUGUCAUAUCAUCAUCUUGUUAAUUGUUUGGUCAUGUAUGCUAAAAAAUCAAAUUACAAAAAGAUGAUGAAGGUAUCCAAAGAAACAAGGAAGCAGGAUCGAAGAUGGAAAUUUGCAUUUUACUAGCUAAAUGUACAACCUUUAAUAUAAGUUCUCAAGCAAUUAUUGCAUCAUGGAGUGCAGUUGAUGCAGAUGAAAGGAAGAACAAUAUGUUGCUUUCUUCGGUGCUACGGGAUUGAAUUCAAAACCCGAUCAUAUAACCUACAAUCCUACACUAUAUAUGAACAUGAAAUUACUAAGGAAAGCUUUUGUUACACAGGACAAAACUGAUGACAGGACAACAUCUCUAAGACUAUUCUCAAAGAGAAUUGGGAGUGGGGAGGGGAAGAAAAUUGAUCCAGGUCUUAUGCAUUCCAAAUGCAGGUACAUUCCUACAUAAUAAAGGAGGCUUAAAAGAGAAGAAAAGUGAUACCGAAGAUGCAUAUGAGGAACUAAUCUUGGAAGAACUACAGAAAACACAUACUUAACUACUUGAAAAAUAGCCAAGGUAUGCAACUUAAAUGAAUCCCAGACCAUAAAUUUCCCAAGCCACCAUUUGCAAAAGUGUGCUUCACCUGCAAAAAGAAAAAAAAAAUGAAAAAUGAAAACGACAUCGUUUUGGACGUUGUUGACUGUGGAAAGUGAAAUCAUCUGUGAUUUAAAAAAAAUGUAUUAUCAUGUCAUGUUGACUGCGAAAUUCAAAGACGAUACUGUGAAAAUCAUAACCUAUGGUAUGAAAAUUUGCACAUUGUAGAGGAUGUUAUCUUAUAAGAGAUUGCUUUGUAAAAAAGAGUUAUCAGAACCAAUUGUCUGCAUUUUUUAGCACAAUUUUCACUAUAUUCUUUCUUCUGAUUUCCUUAGCAAUUUUCCACCUUACCCUAUUGCUCUUGUCGAGAUAACAUGAGUUCAAACAUUGUACAUGACUAAUUGUUAUUUUUGUUGGUGGUCGAUGGCAGUUAGAAACAACAUGUUUAUACAAUGCAACAAAUCAAUAUGUUGUUGGUGGGUACUGAUCUAGCAGCAGAAGAGGGACCGGUAGUAAAAGAUGGAAAAAGUUUUGCUAAGAACAGAUACAUAGAAGAGGUAGCAACAAUCAAAUAGGUAUCUGUAUCUCUCUAAAUGAUUCUCACGAUGUUGGUGGAUAUGUUGCGUUCCAAUAACAACUCAAUUCACAAGUAGUUUCUGAAACCCAAUACACGUAUCGACAAAUUCAAUAUGUCGAUCCCAAAAGAUAUUCUGUACCAUAUCAAACACUAAUACCACCAUAUCAAACGUCGGUAACACCAUUUGAAACGCCGAUUGUAUAAUAUCAAAUGCCAAUUAUACAAUACAACCUAUUUUUCCAUUCUAAAAAGUGGGCCGAAAGGAGAGGAAAGUGGUAUUGAAGAUGCAUAUAUAUAUAUAUAUAUAUANCAAGACCAGCUAAGAGUAAACGUAAAUAAGAAUAAAAGGCAAAUACAAGUAGAAAGAAGUAUAUUGAAUCAAAUUGUAUCUGAAUUGAAAGCAACAAAAAGGUGUAUCAAGAUGUUAAACCCAUGAAAUCUCAAACCCAUUGAAAAUCUUUUGUGUAUGCUUGACGGCUUUGAGUUAUGUUAUUAUUUAUUCCAUAUCUUGAUGUGUCUGAGCAUGUUGAUGUUGUAAUUUGAUAACUUUGCAUCAGUUCUGUACUCUUCUCUUUGCGUAACCAUUCUAUUUCAGCUUCCCUUUGGAUUUCACUUGCUGAGCUGAUUUAAGUUCCACCUUCUAAUAUUCUUCAAAUGUUACCUCUUUCUAAACCCCUCAUAAGAAAUGUUCAUGCACAAACUCCCACCUAUUCAAUAAAUCUUGCUAAAUCCCUGAAUCAAAUCACAGAAACCAAUAAAAGAUGAACGUGUAAGAAACUAAACAACACCAAAAACCACAGCAACCAUGCAUGUAGGGUGUUGUUUAUCAUUCAUAAUAACAUAACCAGGACCAAAACUUUCCCCCUUUAGUCAACCGUCUUCGUCCUUUGCAUGAUGAAAGAAAAAAGAAAAUUUACAAAGAGAAGAAUAGAUAAUAAGUGGGUACCUGAUUCUUACUGAACUAUUUGAAAAAUAGACAAAGAUAUGUAACCUAAAUGAGACCUUGUAUUUACAAUUAACUAUUGUUGUUGAUGAUCAAGACAAACCGAGAGUAAAAUCACACAAACCAGUUGUUCUUACUUUAUGUUCAAAAGAGCAGGGACAAAAUAUUAAUCAAUACCUAAACUUUACCCCUUCACCCAAUCAUCUUCUUCCUUAACAUGAAAAACAAGAACAUCUAGAAAAAAAAAAUGGAUAAUGAGUUGAUUACCUGAUUCUUUGUUGGAGCCAUGAAGAUGAAAAUAUCAAUCAAGACCUAACCUUUCCCCCUUCACCNUAUAAAAAAAAAAAAAAAAAAAAAAAAAAAAAAAAAAAAAAAAAAAAAAAGAGGAAAUAGAUAAUGAACCUGAUUCUUAGUUGGAGCCAUGAAGAUGAUAAGUGAUCAAUGCUGCAGCAGAUUGGUGCAAGAGAAGUGACAGGUCAAGAGCACAAUAGCAUACAAAUAUAGUCUAAUCUAAUAACUAGAUAUUAUAUAAAAAUACUGAAUGAUAAAUAUAACAAACAUUUUAAAAUUGAAACCUUUAAACAACAUCCACAUUACAAACAUAGAUCCAAAUAGUAGCAUUAAAACAAAAACUUCAUUCAUAACAUAUAUCCGAGAAUUACUUGCAUUGCAGAGCGCCUAUACAGCUUCUCUUCCUCUCUUGAUCUUGGCAACAACUGUUACCAUGACUGCAACGUAUAUCUUGUCCAUGAUUUUCUCAACAAACAUGAAAAGCCUCCAUCUCCACUGCUUCUUGAACAAGAGAACUCCAAUUACACCCCAAAACCCUGUUGCAAAUCCACUCAUGAUGUCCAGGUAAAACCACCAUACCUUGAUCGACUCCUCAGCUGCUUUAUGUUUCUUCUUGGGCUUUGCUGUUGUUGUUGGGUCUUGAUGAUCUGAGCAAUUGUUUGUCAAUGGAGGUCCACAAAGAUCUCUGUUCCCACCAUAUAUUGAUGGAUCAUCAAUAAGGGUCUGCAAUUGAUGGCCUGUUGGAAUUCUUCCCCACAAGUUGUUGUGUGACAAAUUCAAAUGACUCAAAAAAGUCAAAUCUGCCAUGCUUGGAGGGAUCAUCCCGGUUAACUCAUUGUUUGAGAAAUCUAGAGAAAAUAAUGCCGUCAAGUUUCCAAUGGUGUCUGGAAUAUUCCCACUGAGAUGAUUAUUAGACAAAUUGAGACCCACCAACAUAGAAAGUGCAGUUAUCUCUAUAGGUAUUUUUCCUACAAGUUUAUUGCUUGAAAGGUCCAUGUUAUAAACUAUAUCCAAAAUUCUUGUAUAUUCAAGAUCAACACCUUUCAUAACCUGAAUCACAUUCUCAUUAGAAUCACCCCAGCCAUAAUUGUAAUACCACUUUUCUGCACCAUUAACCAUUGCUUUCAACUCUCUUAGGCAAUGAGGGAUGAUACCCGUUAAGUUGUUGUAUGCAACAUCCAAAAUUUGAAGAUUUGACAUUUUGCAUAAAGAUUCAGGAAUUUCCCCGGUAAAGUUAUUCUUGUGUAAUCUUAAAACAAUCAAACUUGUCAGGUUUUCUCCAAUCCAGUGGGGUAUCUUUCCAAACAAUUGAUUAUCACCCACAUCUAGGACUUUUAAAUCUCUUAAAUUCCCCAACUCUGGAGGAAGUUCACCAAUGAAGUUAUUGUCAUCCAAUUUUAACCAAUUCAAUGAUGAAAGAUUAAGACCUAUAUAGCUUGGAAUGACACCUGAAAGUAAAUUUGAGCUAAAGAUCAUGGCACCCAACCAUUCCAGAUUCUGGAGACACUUGGGAAUUGUCCCUGUUAACCUAUUUCUGGAAAGAUCAAGUAAUUCCAAAUCUGUCCAUCUGCACAAGGACUUCGGAAUUGACUCAUUGAAAAUGUUAUUUGCUAGUAUCAAUACCCAUCGUAUUUCUGGAAGGUUUGUCAAUGGUCCGCUGAGUUUGUUGUGAGAGAGAUCUAAGAAAUCAAUGACAGGCAUCUUCCGCAACCAUCUGGGCAGAGGUCCCGAAAUUGAAGCAUUCGACAACACUAACUCAGAGAGCAAGAACUGAUUCCGUAGCCACUGUGGCAAUCCAUUUGUGAGAUUGCAGGAACUGAGAUCAAGAUGAUACAACUGGAAUGGAGGCAUCCACUUAUGUGAAAAAUUGCAUGUCAGCUUAGAAUUAGAUGAAGCAUUCAAGUACCUCAACAUGGAAAGGUUAGCAAAAUGGGCUUCGGAAACUACUCCUUGUAAGGAAUUGUCUGAGAUAUCUAACUCAUUGAGUUUGGCAAGUUGCCCAAUUGAAACCGGAAUAGUCCCAUUUAACAAAUUUGAAGACAACCGAAUUGCUUGUAAUGAAACAACUCUUCCUAGAGAUGUUGGGAUGGGGCCCGUUAAGUGAUUGGAUUGUAGAUACAAAGAUUCUAAAGCUGCAAGAUUUCCAAAGGAUUCUGGAAUUGAACCAUUCAAUUGGUUAUCAUGUAGAUCUAAUACCUCUAAGAAUCUUAAUCUUCCUAGAGAUUCGGGGAUUGGACCUGUCAAACUGCUCAUUGAUAGAUCUAAGUGUCUUAAAUUGGUUAGUCUUCCAAAUGCUUCUGGAAUCGUACCAUUCAAACACCCACUUAAAUCCAACCGCUCCAAAGCAUAUUGGGAGCAUUCUGAAACGUUUUGCGGUGGGUCAAUCCUUUCUAUUUCAAAAGGAUUUCCAUAUGCAGCCAAUGUUUUCAGGUGACACUGUCUCCAGAUUCCAACAUCCUCAAUAUUCUUAAACUGGUUAACAGAAAGAUCAAGCUCUAGAAGGUUAGCCAUAAUAGGAACCGAAGAAUGCAGCAUGUUUCUUGAGAGAUCAAGGACUCUUAAGGAACUCAUGUUACUGAAAACAGAUGGAAAUAUGCCUUCAAUUGAAUUCCAGCUAAGAUCCAGGUGUUGGAUGUUAGAAAGCAUACAAAGUGACAAAUGCAGCUCUGAUAAAGAAGGGAUCAUGUUUAGCACGUUUGCAAAGUUCCAUGCCAAACUAAGAUUAAAUUUAGAAAGAUCGAGGAAUGCUAGGGAUGUCAUGUUUCGGAAAAAUCCAGGGAGUGGGCCUUUGAAAGAAUUGAAGCCAAGAUCAAGGUGUUUGAUGUUGGGAAGUAUUCUACUCGAAUUAAGAAAAGGACCAAGAUGGGCAUUGGAAAGUCCACAACCAUGCAAACUUAACUCUUUUAACGAAGGAAGAUUGUAAAGCACCAUGCCCAUGUUCUUUGCUCCGCCAAGAUCCACCCAACUCAAGUCGAGAUGCUCGAGUGAUGAAAGGCCAAAAGUCCAUGACAUAUCAUCAUUCCAACUGAGAUCCAAAACCUUUAAAUUAGAAAGAUUUCCAACGUGAGGAGGAAUAAUACCUUGAAAACCAGCAUAAGAGAGAUUGAGAUAUCUCAGCUCUUUGAAGGAACCAAUGAACUCAGGGAACCGGCUUCCUCUAAUAUAAUUCCAACUCAAGUCCAGGUACUUGAGAUGCCUCAACUCAGCCAAAGAAGAGUUCACCUCAUUACCAACUAAGUAGCCUUCUCCUUCACUGUCAGAAGGGUCUCCUCCGAGAUUGAGGCUGUCAACGGUUCCAGUGAGACUGUCACAGUGGAUUCUUUCCCACUGGCAACAAUCCUUACCCACCCAUGAAGACAUCAUUCCAGAAGUAUCUUCAACACUCCCUUUGAACCUGAGAAGAGCAAGUCGUUCUUUCUGGGAGCAAACAACAGUGACAUUUCCAACACCCAAACAAGUAUAUUUCGUUGCAAACAAAAAAACACAUAUGAAAAUGAGAUUGAGCCCCAAACCCCACGGAUUCCCCAUUUAUCAACCCUCCCUAACUCAGUUUAAUUUAGAAGAAAGUUGAAGUGGAAAGAUAGUUUGUUAUGAUGAAGUGAUAGAUUAUUAUGAAGAAGAAACCAGUUCAUUUAUAAUGCCACAAAUGAAGAACAACUUAAUGCCAUGGAAGACUUCAAGUCAAUGGACAUUUGUCUCCACAAGUUGUGUUUUUGUGGUCCAAGUCUGUUCCCCAUGUCAGAUGCAAUUGCAUAUGGAAACAAUUCUUUAAAAAAUUAUAAAUAAAAUGAAGCACAAUAAUUGACAAACAAGCAUUUAGAUUUUUAAGAAAUCCAAGAUAAAUUAUAACCUUUUGUAAAUAGUAGGUGUAAAUCAAUAUAAACUUAAUUUUGAUGUUCAAUCAUUUUACAAAACUAACUACAAGAAAAUAAGUUUUUUUGUUAUUAUUUGACUUGACAAGGCUGGUGUGACAAGCCUAGCUAAUUAAAAGAUACUUUCUUCUGUAACUCUAAAUUAAAGAUAUUAUAUUAUCUUUUAUAAAAAAAAUGUAGCCUUCUCAAAUGCAUUACGGUUUUAUUAGACAACCCAUUCACUUGAAAAUAGAUAUUUGUUUUAUUAAUAAUAAAAAAACCUAUUUUCAUAAUAAUAAAAAUAGUAUAUAAAGAGAUGUUGCGGAGAAUAAAAAGGAAGUGGUGGGGGUUGGUGGAUUUGUGGGACCCAAUGUUUUAAUAAUAACAAAAAUAAGGUAUAAAAAAGUAAUUAAAAAAUAAAAAAUCUAGGAAGGGCAAAAUAGUCUUUUAGGUCAGUUAGGGACGAAAACUGUAACAAAACAAUAUCACAUGGACGAUUUGUUUAAUUUACUCUAGGUUUUUGCUUUUAAAUUUGAUACCAAUAUUGCUACAAAUGAUUAUGGCUUUUAGCGAAUUGGUGUUAUUGAAUUGGAACACUUUUGAUUAGAGUCUAAUGUCCCAUGGCACACAUAAAUGCAUUUGGCCAAAAGUCUUCCACACAAAGACUUUGAAGUCAACAAAGUAACACUCACACACAAAAAAGGGGGCCAUGAUUGAUGCAACUUUCUUGUGGAAUUUUUCCAUGCAACUUCUCCCCAUCAAAUGUAUUCCUCUUUGCUAUUAUUCCAUGAAAAUUUACAAAGUUCAGGAAAAACGUCUUAUCCACUUUAACUAGAAAGAAUUUGCAAACAAAACUGACCCAUGACAUGGAAUGGAGGAUAAUAACCGAGAUCAUGAAGAGACAUGUUGUUCCAGGUAGAUGCACUAAAAAUGACCUAAAGAAACAAAAUAUAAAGAAGCAAAAUAGCCAGGUUAGUCAUGAAACCAUACAUAAAAAAAUUUAAUACAUAAGAGCUUUUUAAUGUUUCCUGUUAAACCAACAUGAAUAUAGAAGAGCUUUUUAUUUUAUUUUAUUUUCGUUUUCUGUGGAUCAAAAUAAGUGGGUUUUGGCAAAGUUUAUUCCGAAUGGCAGAAGCAAAUGUAUUUGACAACAAAUCUAUAAAAUAAAUGAAUUGAAUAUUUGGUAAGAUUACUAUUCAAUUAGAAGUCACUACACAAGACUUGGAAGUCUAUAGACAGUUUUAGCCACAAACUGGUAUGCUCUGGAUCUGGACUGUAUAUUUUUUUUCUAUGCCCCAAGGAACACACAAAUGUAUUUGGCCACAAGUAUUUUUCACAAAAGAAAUUUCAGUCAACAAAGUAAACCCCCCAAAUAAAUAACAUGGACAAAAGAAAAUAGUGACAUGAUUGAUGCACCAAGAAUCUUUUCUUAUGGAAUUUUCCAUACAACUUCUCCCUAACAAAUAUAUUCCACUUUUAUUGUUAUUCCAUGGAAAACAAAACUAGUAUCAGGAAUUCAGGAAUGAAUAAUCAGUCUAACAAACAGUGGCAUGAAGUAACUAUAUUCAGCUCAACUUAAUUUAAUAUUAUCAAUUCUUACGACAAGUUCAAAUGUUGUUAUGUUGAAGAAACCACUUCAUUUAUAAUGCCAUCAAUGAAGAACAACUAAUUUCCAUGCCAUGGAAGACUUGAAGUCAACGGACAUUUGUAUGCACAAGUUGACUUUUUGUGGUCCCCAUGGUAGACAGCUAGACACAAUUGUAUAUGGCAACAAUUCUUUUAAAAAAUAUAAAAUAAAUGACAAACAAGCAUUUAGAUUUUCAAGAAGUAUAGGAUAAUUUAUAAUAUUUUGUAAAUACUAGUUAUAAAUUAUAAACUUGAUUUUGAUGUUCAAUCAUUUUACAAAACUAACUUCAAGAAAAUAAGUUUUUUUGUUAUUAUUUGACUCGACAAGGUUGAUGUGUCAAGCUUAAUUAAAAGAUACAUUAUGUAACUCCACAUUAAAGAUAUUAUAUAUUUUUUUAUAAAAGAUGUAUUUUCUCAAAUGCAUUACGAUUUCAUUAGACAUAACAAUUUCAACCCAAUUAAUUGAAAAAUAGGUAUUUGUUAUAUUAAUAAUAAAAAUACCUAUUUUCAUAAUAAUAUAAAUAGAUAUAUAAAGAGAUGUUGAGGAGAUAAAAACGGGGUGGGGUGGGGGUUGAGGAAUUUAUGGGACCCAAUGUUUUAAUAAUAAAAAAAUAAAGUACAAAAAAUAAUUAAAGAUAUAAAAAAUCUAGUAAGGGAAAAAAUGUAUUUUUAGGUCUGUUAGGGAUAAAAAUCAUAACAAAACAAUACCAAAUGCAUGGUCCGAAUUGAGAAAUAAUAAUAUUAAAUAAGGGACCAAGCAUACAUAUUACCUUAAACCACAGGGACCAUUCAUGCAAUUUACUCUAGUUUUUUUCUUUUAAAUUUGAUACCAAUGUUUUUACAAUUGUUUUUGGCUUUUAACAAAUUGAUGGUAGUGAAUUGGAACACCAUUGAGGAAUUGUCUAUGGCCCAUGGCAUACGUCAAUGCAUUUGGCAAAAAAAGUCUUCCAAACAACAAAGCAAACCCACUAAUCACACACACACACACAAAAAAAAAGAAAAAAAAAAAGGACAUGAUUGAUGCACUAAGUAAGCAUCUUUCUUGUGGAAUUUUCCAUGAAACUUCUCCCUAUCAAAUGUAUUCAUCUUUAAUAUAAUUAUAAGUAUCUUUUAAAUCUAAAAUAAAUUACAAUCAUAUUUUAACCUAAAAUAUCUUUAAUAUAACUACUUUUAAAGAUUAAUGAAAUUAUAUACCAAUAGUUUUUAAGUAAAUACACGAAUGGUCUCUAUGAUUUCAGGUAAUUAGCGUGUAUUGUCCUUUAACCGUUUUUUUAAACUUGGAUGGUCCCUAUGGUUUGGUUUUGUUUCGGGUUUGGUACCCAACAAACUUAAUAUGACUAUCUUGCGCUUAAUAAUAUUUUUCUAUAAUUUUUUAGUUCAUUUUUUAUUAUUAUGUUAUUAUUAAAUAGAGUAAAUUAUUAAUGUCUAAAAUGAUACUUCACCAAACACCAGAUGCUGCCCUUGAAACCACCUCCCCCACCAUUGCAAAAGAUUGAAGGAUCCAGCCUCACACCAUUUUCCCCUCUGUUACAGACAAAAAACAACAUCAUCAUCCAUUCCUGAUGAAAAUCAAAUUCAUACCAAGUUCACUCGAUCAGAUAUAUAAUCUCAACUCUCGUAAAAAUGUUAAAAAAAAGAAACGAAAGAAGAAAUGCACAUAAACCAUCAGUGCAGAAGUUAACUGGAAGCACAAGUUUGGGGACACUAGAAACCAUAUCAUGUACAUCAUGAUCUUGCGCAUGUGUAAGCUUUGACAGCAUGCAGUGCCUACUGAAAAAGGUUUAUUUACUAAUACGAUAAUUAUGGUAUCAUGUACAAAACCUAAUCUGAUUAUAUUGGGAGCAAUUACGUGUACACACAUACAUAUAUAAUAUUUGGCCUGGUAAAACUGUACACACAUAAAUAAAUAAAAAUUCAUUUGUAGGAACUGCUUUCAUAGCAUAUGAAGAAGAACCGGUUCCUAAUAUAGCAGCAAUAUGAAAACAUGUUUUUUUUUUUCAAUUUUCUCACAGUAAAACAAAAGCAAGAGAAAAUAGAGGCUUUUCACGAGCACAGGUCAACAUAGGACUAUAGUCUAUAGGUGAUUCGUUGAUACAAUAAAAAAAUACAAACACUUUUAAGUAUCAAAGGAUCUACUGAGAAGCAGAGGUUUAAUUGAGCUUGAAGCAUUUCCUCCCUUAAACAGGUAAUUACAGAUUACGUGGUGACAUUAUAUCUACCAUUAGGAGCUGCAAGUGUGUUGCAAAACAGAGGCUAUCACCAUCUGCUUAUAUGCAUCAUUACCUUCUCUGUGUUACAGGUCCCAAUUUGUGAGACAAUUAGGUCAGACAGAAUCAUAAAAUCGUAGAUGGAUCAUUUUCCCAGUAUACACCAAUGAAAUUGGAUUAGCAUAUAUGCAUCGUUUUCAACAGCCCUUAAUUACUAUCUUUUUUAUCUUACAGGUCCCAAUUUGUGUGCUUUGUAGCAUUUUCUCAUUUUUCUUAAAAAACAAAUACAGCAAAGUUCAUAAAGUAUAGAAAAUUAGGCCUAAGAAAAAUAGAAAAUCGGAAAACAUACCAAGUGAACACCAUAUGAAUCGGCAGUUUAGGCUUCGCCUUUCCCCGUUCUCGUCUACUUCCCAGUGACGAUAGUUUUGAGAGGACCGGAAAUUUGGGGGAAAGUUUGUUACGAGUAAAUUACAAAUUUGGUCCCUUAGGUUUUGUUUUGUUACAGAUAUAAUCUAUUUAGUAAAAUCUAGGAUAAAUUACGAAUUUUGUACUUUUUGUAUUAUGUCAAAACCUAUGAUUUUUAUCUUUAUUUCUUCGAUCAGACUAUUCAUGUGUAAUGUCCUCAAAAAUAGGUCAAGCAAAUAGAAGCGAGUUAAAGUGUUUAAAGGAAGAAGAAGUGAUGUUGUGUUACUAUGAAAAAAAAAAUGAUGUCUUUAUAAAUACUAGUUGUGGGACCCAUGUAUUAUAUGGGUUGAUUUUUAUUUUUUUUUAAAAUAAAUAUAAAAAUCAAAAUAUUUGAGAACUUUGAAUUUAUAAGAAAAAUAAUGAAUUAUUAUAAUUGAAAUAUUUUUUAUCUUUUAAAUUUAAACAAGUAAUUUAAAUAAAUAAACAAAAGAAGUUAAUAAAGCUUUAAUCUUGGAAUUUUGAAAUUAAAAGGUAAGUUUUAUUAAUGAAAAUUUUCCACAAAAAAGAGGCCAUGAUUGAUGCACUAAAUAAGCAUCUUUCUUGUGGAAUUUUUCCAUGCAACUUCUCCCUAUCAAAUGUAUUCCUCUUUGCUAUUAUUCCAUGAAAAAUUACAAAAGUUGAGGAAAAACGUCUUAUCCUUUGAAGUUUGAAUUAGACAGAAUUUGGCAACAAAACUGAUCCGUGACAUGGAAUGGAGGAUAAUACCCAGGAAGAUGCACUAAAAAUGACCUAAAGAAACAAAAUAUAAAGAAGCAAAAUAGCCAGGAUAAUCAUGAAACCAUACAUAAAAAAAUAUAACACAUAAUUAAUACAUAAGAAAUUUUUAAUGUUUCCUAGGUUAAACCAACAUAAAUAUAAUAAGGGAUUAGUGCAAAAACCAACGCACUUUUAUUUAUUUAUAUAUUAAAGCAUCAUAACCCAUAAGAUAAUGAAUAUAGAAGAGCUUUUUAUUUUAUUUUUUUCAUUUUCUGUGGAUCAAAAUAAGUUUGUUUAUGGCCAAAGUCUAUUCCCCAAGGCAGAAGCAAGUGUAUUUGACAAGAAAUCUAUAAAAAAAAUGAAUUGAAUAUUUGGUAAGAUUACUAUUCAGUUAGAAGUCACUACACAAGACUUGGAAGUCUAUGGACAGUUUGUUUGUAGCCACAAACUGUAUAAAAAAAAAUGAAUUGUAUAUUUUUCACAAAAGAAAUUUGAGUCAACAAAAUAAACCUCCAAAUAACACGGACACAGAAAAAUAAUGCCAUGAUUGAUGCACCAAAAAUCUUCCUUAUGGAAUUUUCCAUGCAACUUCUCCCUAAAAAAUAUAUUCCUUUUUUAUUGUUAUUCCAUGGAAAACAAAACUAGUAUCAGGAAUUCAGGAAUGAAUAAUCAGUCUAACAAACAGUGGCAUGAAGUAACUAUAUUCAGGUUAACUUAAUUUAAUUAAUAUUAUCAAUUCUUAUAUAUGAUAAGUUCAAAUGUUAAUUAACAUAUUCCAUAACUGAUAUUUUGUAAUUUUUACAUAUGUACUAUCAUAGAAACAUCACAGAUUUAAUCUAAUGAAUGAGAAAGAGUGUAAAACAAAAAACAAUGUCUUUAUCAAUGCCAUAAAUCAUGAAGAUUUUAUUUUCAUUUCCUAAAAUAUCACUUCUCAAACAACUUCUGCUUAACCCUCAACUUUCAUUUUACCCUCAGUUGGUCCUCUAAGUUGCACUUCUUCAUGAAAUUAAAUACAGUAUGAUUUUGAGGGACAAUUCCAACCCAUUUAUAGGUAAAUGGACAGUCAUUAAAUGUUUAUUAAAAUUUAAAAGAUUAAUAUUUUACUUUUUUUAGAUUAAUUUAUAACAGCUUUCCUGAAAUUUUUACUUUUUACUAACUAAAAUAGGAUAUCCAUAUAUAAAGAUUUCCCUUUAUAAAACCCAUUAUUCAACCGAUGAAAAAAAAAACAAAAUACAAACAUUGAUUUUUCCUUCUAUUAAGUCGAUGAAAUAACAAUUCAACGGAAAAAACAAUAUCGCAAAUAUGCUUUAAGAUAAAUUUUCAUGAUUAUCAAUAAUAUCAAUUUAAAAGAAGCUUUGAAAUGGUGAAUCAAUAUUUGUUCAACUAAUUGUUAGAUACAUAUAAAAAAAAUUGAACUGGGCAUGUAACCUUUACACAUUAUUUGGUGCUCUCUCUUUAUUAGAACUAAUGCUGAUUUUUAUUAAAUGACAAUGUUGUUAUUUACCAAAUUUCAUUUCAUUUAAACGUCCAUAAAUACGAACUAAAAAACAUGUUGGAAUAGUUCAUUUCGAUCCUAUAGACCAAAGAAACAUGAUAGUGAAAUGAUAAUUAUCUAUCUUAUUGCCAUGUUCUUUAGAUUUCUAUGUUCAUUCAAUUAUUUGUGAUUCCACCCACGCCUAAUGCCCCAUAGAUCGUUUGAAUUGUAUAUGAACAACAAUCAAGUUUAGCUCAAAUGGUAAAAAGCACCUACCUGAGUUCCCUUUGUUGAAAAAUAGGAGAUAAAAAAUACCAACGAAAAACUAUAAGUUUUCAUUCAAUGACUUUAAAGUCAACAAAAAACUAUAAACUUGAUUUUGACAUAUAAAAGUUUUACAAAACUAACUUGAAGUUUUUGAUUAUUCAACUUUAACAGAUUAUGAGGAGACAUAAUCUCAUGUGGUAGAAGCAACUACUUUUUAAUAGGUUAUCAGUCUCACAAUAUAAGAAAUAUUGACUUGCAUAUGAUGGAUCUUGCUACUGCCUAUUUGUAGUUUUGUACUCCUCCCAUGAUACCAAUCUUUUAUAUAAACUUUUACCUCCCUCAAAAGAUUUAAACCACCAUAAACAAGUAAGAUGGGAUCUCAAGAACACUAUUUGAUCAAAUUAAACAAGUCAUUACAUAUUUUGUUGCUAAUCAUACAAGACUUGACUUUGGUUAAGACCCCUUUCAACCUUUUAAAGAUUCCAAGGAAAUUGGUGGUCCAAAGCACAUUUAAGUGUCAUUUAAACAAGUCAUUAAUAUAUCUUGCUAAUAAUAAGAUGAAUUAUUAAAAUCAUACAUAUACAUGUUAUCCUUUAGAAGAAUGAUAUAAUAGUUAAGUAUGUGAUCUUGGCAUCUUGCUAACAUAUAUCAUCAUUAAGUAAAUUAAAAAUUAAUAAAUAGAAAUUACAAUCUCAAUAUAUAUAUCAUCUAUCAUUUUCUUGAAAUUUUACCCAAUUCUAAAGGGAUUCCCGGGAUUUUGUUUCUGUUGCUGUUUUGUUGUGUAAUUGUUUAAAUCUUUGUUUUCUUCUAUUUUUUAAAAAACAUUACUGUAAUGAUUAUGAAACUUCAAGUGUUCCCAUAUCUUUGCUUUAGAAAUGUGUUCUUCAACUACAACAUCUCUUCAAAGUUAUAACCAGAUUUGACAGUUACCCAUGUUCUUUAUCUGAAAAGUAUUACAUCUGACUCGGAAUAAAUAAUUCUAUGUGGAAGAAGGUAUGUAAGACAAUGACUUUUGUAACUAUUAAUCUAUUAACUUAAAUACUUACACUUUGGUAUUUGGUAAUUUAUUUAAUUACUUAUUUAUGUUUUAUGAAUAUAUGUAAUUGAAGUAGAAAGUAAUUGUGGUCAACAAGAUUUUCUUCUAUGGUUACAGCACCAGUUAUUUUCAUGUUUAUUGUAGCAUUUGAGCAUCUAUUCGUUUAUCUCCAAAAAUCAAAUAAAUUCAUAUCAAUUUUACACUUGAUCGUUUGGUAUUCAAAAUCAAAGAAGAAGAACCAACUCUAUACCUAUGAUAUCAUCUGGCUAGAACAUGUCAAAAUAGAACCUAAUGUGAUAAUAUUGGAAGUAAGUACACACAUACAUGCUGGGUUUCCUCAUAACUAUUCCCCCAUCCUUGGAUAAACCAAAUAAAAUUAUACAUAAAUAAAUUGAUACAUCAUUUGUAAGAACUUUCAUGGAAUAUGAAGAAGAACCAAUUCUAUAAUUAUGCAGCAUUGCAAGAAAUGUUUUUUUUUUUCCAAUGCUGCAGCAACUAAUACUCUAGGGUUGAUGUGUACUGAUCAAAAUAAGUGAUUGGUUGGUUGAUAUAAUAUGAUACAAGCACUUGCGUAAGCACCAAAGGAUCUACUAAGAAGCAGGGGAGAUAAUUUAGUAUAAAGCAUUUGCUACAGAUUAUAUUUAGCAUUGGGAGCUGCAAGUGUGUUGCAGAACAAGGCCAUCAGGAUCAUUUGAAACAUAUAAAUAUAUAAAUGCAUCAUUUUUAAUGAUGCUAAAUUUCAAUCUUCUCUGUGUUAUGGGUCCCAACAUGUGAAAAUUAGGUCAAAUAGAAAAAAGAAGGAAAAAAAAACUUACGAGGUUAAUAUUGUCGACAACGACUGAGGAAUGAAGGAGAGGGAUGAAUCAACAAUUGAUGGCUUUGGAUUUUCCUUGUCCUCGCCUCUUCGCUGGUAGUGACGGAGGAUAGGGUAUGAGAACGCGAUCGUCGACGGAGGAAUAAACAAAAGGAGAUUUUGGGGGAAAUUGUGUGUGGGCCACGAGUCUUCUUGCUGUAAAAAAUAAAUUUUGGCUCAUUUGAAUUUUGCGUAUUUUGUGGUAAUAUUAAAUUUUAUUCGUUCAUCAUUUUUUAUGGUUUUUUAUAGACAAAACUGCACAAAUGGUCCCUGUGGUUUGUCAAAAAUUGUCACUUUGGUCCAAAAAAGUUUGGGCUAGCACCAGAGGUCCAAAGUUUUCAUUUUGUUGCUUGUUUGGUCCAAUCUAUUAUGAUUUUUUUCAAAAUGACGGAUUUGCCCCUGUUAAUAUGAUUUUUUUUCUUUGUUUCUUAAUUGUUUUUUUGAUUUUCAGAUUCAAAAAAAAUAAAAAUAAAAUUAAAUCUCUCUCUCCUCUCUUUCUCUCUAUUUCUUUCUCUCUCCUCUCUCCUCUAUCUCUUUCUUCAAUCUUCCUUCUCGUCACUCCUUUUUUCUUCGACUCCCAAAUACCAACUGUACCACCAAUUCCAAUAUCAGUCACAAACCGACGGCCGAACACCAUGGCUCCGUUCAACCCUGCAGUCUGGAAAUCAGACUGUUACUGUGCCCCGGCACAUGAUUCUCCGGCUAGGUGUUGCUGUGAUUCGGCACCGGCCCUACAACUUGAACGGAUCUUCACCUACUAUGUUGGGUACUAGGUUUACCAACUAUCUACAACUAACUGUAUACUCUGGCUAUGUACUGUUGUAGAAGAUUGAGUUGAUUUAGAGAGCCAAUUAAUGGAGGAAUUGGACCGGAGACUAAGCUAGACAUAAGGUCGAGCACCUGGAGUGCACCCGUCUUCUUCCUCAUGAACAUCAUCAUCUUCUUCCUCUCUUCAUAUUCCAACCAAUACCACCACCCAUCUCUGCCUCCGUCGAUAGUUGGGUGCUUUAGAACCCAAGAUUUGAGAUAAUUUGACACAAUGUUGUUGAGCCCUUGCUACUUGAAGUCGAUCAGAUCUAUCACCUUUCUUACUCUGCUUCCCUGUUAAUUACAAACACAAUCCAGUCAAUACAUUUAGAUUAGAGCACGCUUCUUGCUAAUAAGCACCAGUGAGGAGAUAAGUUGAAGAACGAGGGAGAUGGCGGUGAAGAUUGAUGUCGCUGCUAAAAUGAUAUUGGCGUUGAAGGUGGGUUUCAAUGAGAAAAGGGGUGGCAGAGCAGGAGGACCACGAUGGAGACGAUGGUGGUGGGAGCUAAGAGUUUUUUCUAGGUUUUUUCUUUGUAUGGUUUUCCCUAUUUGUUCUAAAUGAAGAUUCAGUAUUAAUUUAUGGUAAAAUUGAUUUUGAUUUUAUAAAAUCAAGAGAGAGAGAGAGAGAGAAAGAGAUAGAUGAGAGAGAGGGAGAGAGAGAGAGAAAGAGAUAGAUGAGAGAGAGAGGGAGAGAGAGAGAGAGAAAGAGAAAGAAAAGAGAGAGAGAGAGAGAGAGAGAGAUUUAAUUUUAUUUUUUUUUUAAUCUGAAAAUCAGAAAAACAAUUAAGAAAAAACCAAAAAAUCAUAUCGACAAGGGCAAAUCCGUCAUUUUGAAAAAAAAUCAUAAUAGAUUGGACCAAACAAGCAAUGAAAUGAAAACUUUUGACCUCUGGUGCUAGCCCAAACUUUUUUGGACCAAAGUGGCAAUUUUUGACAAACCACAAGGACCAUUUGUGCAGUUUUGUCUUUUUUAUAUUUUAUUAAAUUUCAUAGGAUAAUAAAUAGAUAUUAAUUUUAAUAAUUCACUUUCUAAAUUUAAAAUUUCUAAUUGGAGAAUUCAAUCAUAUUUUAAUGUCAUUAAAUUAGGAACAAAAUUAACGGAUGUUUUUGGUAAAUAUAAUUUCUAUAUCUUCCUCGUUAUAUUUGAUGCGACAUUAACCUCUGACGAUUCUUUUGGUCUUCUGCUGCUGCGGAGAUCUGCUAGUCACAAUCAGAGAGAUGCGUUAGAGUCGUCCCAGGGACUGUGCCUCGGGUGCGGACACCGAUGAUCAAGUUAGAUCAGCUGAUAGAUCUGAGAUGGUCCUAAAUAGCUGGAGAGAACCAUCUUGGUGCUGGUGGUGGUGUAUGGUGGCUGAUGGCGGCGGAUGGCGGUUGAGCCACCCGGCAUGUGUAUAGUGUGGCGGCUAAGCUAAGGGGAAGAUCCCCCUCCAUGGAGGAGGUACUGUUCAUUAUAUAGGGGACAAUUAGGUCAAGGGGAAUUAGGUCAGGCCUUGGGCCCGCCUAAUUCAGGCCCAACUAGCAAGGAGUUGGGCAAGGCCGCUCGGAGGCACCGGGCGGCGCUGGUGAGCGCGCACCAGGAAAGAUUGGCAAGGGGCACUAGGCAAAGGAGCAUCGGGCCGGGCCGGCAGGAGAGUCCCCAGCAUGGCUGGCAAGGGAGCACCAGGAAAGGCUGGCAAGGGGACACUAGGCAAGGCUGGCGGGAGCGCGCCAGGCCAAGCUGGCGCUUUAGAGUGGUCUAGGCCAUGCUAAUGUACCAUAUAUCAUCAAGUCCCCCCAGUCUGGUGUUAUUGGUACGCGGCCAAUGACAUCGGACUAGAACUAGUCAUAUAAACUAGCAGGAGAGUCCCCAGCGAGGCUGGCAAGGGAACGCCAGGCAUGGCUGGCAGGAGCGCGCCAGGCCAGGCCGGCGCAUAGAGCAGUCUGGGCCAUGGUAGUGGACCAUAUAUCAUCAAGUCCCCCCAGUCUGGUGUUAUUGGUACGCGGCCAAUGACAUCGGACUGGACUUAGUCAUAUAAACUGUGCGUCAUCAAGUCCCCCUAGUCUGAUGCGAUUGGGUUGCUGACAAUUGGAUCGGACUAGAUAAAGCACCAAUAUAUCAAAGAAUAGAGAGAACGUUCGAACCUUGCCCACGAGAGUCGUGGUGUUGCGUGAUGAGCCAAGCAUUACUUAUGUAGCCUUGACUAGAUACUCCUUCGUUGAGAGGAGUGCGAGGUUGCUAAAGAGUGUUACGCGACACUAAUGUCGAUAAAAUGUUUGGCCAGUGUAGCUAAGGAGUGUAAGCUCGCCAUACAGUCUCUAAGACCGUUAUUCGACACGAUUGUUGUGGUAUUCAUGCGCAUAUGGAGCUUAGCGUCCAACAAUCUAUGUGUCUGGCCCGGGUGAUCAGCUCGUGUUGAAGUGUAAUGGCGUCUAAUGCUUUGCUGUAUCACUAGUUUGGUGAUUGGUGCUUCGCUGUCUUGGCUAUCUGUCGAAGGCUAUGUAACGAUGCUACUUAGAGUUGUAUAAUGUAGUUGUUAUCGAGUGGUGCACAGCGAGACUGCCGUCGAGAGCUGGUCAACAUGGCCGCUGAGAGCUGAGCAUCGAGCUGCUAGCGAUACAUGAGCAACAUGACCACUGAGAGUUGGGCAACGAGUCUCCCGAGGAUUGAACCACGAGGCUGCUCUUAUGAUCUGGAAUAUGGGUGUCACCCUGGGGGUGCACUGUCAUGGACAACAUCAGCUCUUCCUGUACACUAACUUUACCCAUUCGGAGUAAAAAUUACUUCUGCAUAGUAUCGCAGCAACCCUACCCCCCCCUUUUUUUAAAGGAGACGAGGAAUAGAAACGAUGGAUGAAUAGUUGCAGGAAUUUGGGCAACACAGCUACUGAGAAAAGCUAAGCGACCCAAGUACCAACAAAAACUGGGCAGCGCAACUGGCAUGACUGCUGGGAGUCAGGCAAUGUAAUUGCUGAUGAUUGGGCUGCGCAACCGCUGGGAGUUGAGCAACGAGACUAGCAGGGGCCAAUCAACAUAAAUGGUGAGGGUUGAGUAGCAAGAUUGCUUGAAGUUGGUCAACACAGUUGUUGAUAGCCGCGCAACGCAGCUGCUGAUUGUUAUUUCGAAAUGAUUCACUAGUAGUAGUAGCGUAUUACUCUUCUCCCACCCCCCUCCCCUUUUUUUUUGGAAAAGUUGUCGAGAGUUUGAGUCGCAACGCAUUCUGAUGAGCGAAACUUGCGUUGCGCAUGUAACGCCCUGUUCUAAAAGUAUUCGUUCGUGGAUUUCAAAAACCAAAGCUAGGGGUGUUUUGGUCAUUUAUGGGAUUGGAGUUUAUUUUGAGAAGGUUUUGGGGCUGAGACAUGCUGCUAGAAGCGUAGGGCUUCUCGCCACCUUUCUGUGGAUAUAAAGUUCAUCAGAAACGGAUUUAGAAUGAAGAAGAUAUGACACUUUGAAGAUUUGGCAAUAAUGGCCCUUAAGGAGAAAAGUUCGCAUGUAAGGCCAUGCACGCAUGUUUGGAACACGCGUGGGUACGCCCAACGUAAGCUGGGUUACGCCCAGCAUACUGGGGCAACUUGGUCGCGGAUGUUCAAGGCGUACGCCCAACGUACAUGGAGGUACGCCCAGCGUAAGCUAAAAGUCAUGAAACCCUAAUUUUUGGGUUGAACAUUAUAUAAAGAACAUGUUGGCUUCAACCCUAACCCCAUUUCAGCCUCCCCAACCUCAGAAGAAACCCUAGAACAUCCCUACCCUCAUUUAGGUCAAGCACUACUUCUUUCGGAGUUUGGUGAGUUCUUGUGAAACAGCGAAGAAGGUUUGGGAUAUGAUGAAAGAACUCUAGUCGAGUGAUGCAGAUCUUGAGCAUUUAGGUCAAGCACUACUUCUUUCGGAGUUUGGUGCUUUUGCUCAAAAGCCAGAUGAGAAACUCUAUGUUGACUUCAACUUGACAUGCUCCUUUGGAUUGUUAUUUGGGUUUAGCUCUAACAAUGACUAUAUAGUUAGAAUAAUGGUUUUAUGUUUAUUGGGGUGAUAAAAGCAUUGCCAUUCGGAACCAUUCAUUUCAAAGGGAUUAUAUAUGAAUGGAUUUCUACAAGAACUUUCAUGUUUACACUAUGGUUUACUCUGCUUUGUUGCAUUUAUCAUUUUCACUGCACCAAUUGUUGUAGAAAUACAUAAAUAAUUAUGUAAAAACAAAAUCACACAUAUGUCCUUUUUUGUUUAUAUCGACACAAUCAUAAAACUUCAUUCAACAUAGAAAAUGUGACACUUAUGUAUAAAUAGUUUAUUCUUGUCUUAUAGUUAUUCACUUAAGGGAGGUUUUGGUUUGGUUGAAUUAGACUCCUAAGAGAUUUAACAAUGUGGUUGUGGCUCUUAUAAAGAAACAUUGUGUAAUCUAAACAACUUCAUGAUAUCCAAAAUGGUGGAAAUCAUAUUUUGUAAGCAUGGUAUAUCUUUCAUCAUCUUUAACCAUGUUCUUACUCAUAAAAUUGCUUUGUUUGAACUUUGACGGUUUUCGGAUUAUGUUUUACUAAUAGUCAAAUUUGAUAAAUAGUGGAACCUUAUUGAUUAAAUCAAUGAGAUUAACAUUAAAUAUUUGAUCAAUAGUGGAACCUUGUCAUAUAAUCAUCUGGUUAAUUGCUUGGUCUUCUAUGUUACAAAAUCAAAUUGAACAAGAUGAUGACAAGUUUCAAAAGAAACAAAGAAGCAUGGAUCGAAUAUAGGAUAAUAAUCUGCAUUUUACAAGCUAAAUGUACAACCUUUAAUAUAAGAAGUUCUCUAGCAAUUGUUUCAUCAUGGACUAUAUUUAAUGUACAUGAAAGGAAGAACAAUGUGUUGCUUUCUUCAAACACUACAUAAAUGAAUUCAAAACAACCUAAACUAUAUAUGAAGAUGAAAGUACUAUGGUGGCUUUUGUAACACAAGGCAAGAUUUCUAAGACUAUUUUCAAAGAGGGUCGGGGGUGGGGGGACUGAUAUCUUUUGCACAACCAAAGAACAAGAGCAAGUCACCAUCUCAUCUUUUUGGGCAGGACAAAAAAUUGCAAUUUGUCUCAUUGGCAUUAAUCCCGGUUUUAGCACACCAAAUAUUGGUACAUUUCUAUGUAAUAAAGGAGAUGUAGAAGAGAAGAAAAAUGAUACUAAAGAUGUAUAUGAGGAACUAAUCUUGGAAGAAAACUAUAGGAAACAAGUACUUAACUACUUUGAAAAAUAGAUCAAGAUAUGAAACAUAGAUCCAAAUAGUAGCAUUAAAACAAAAACUUCAUUGAUAACAUAUAUCCGAGAAUUACUUGCAUUCCAGAGGGCCUAUACAGCUUCUCUUCCUCUCUUGAUCUUGGCAACAACUGUUACCAUGACUGCAACGUAUAUCUUGUCCAUGAUUUUCUCAACAAACCUGAAAAUCUUCCAUCUCCAGUGCUUCUUCAACAACAGAACUCCAAUUACACCCCAAAACCCUGUUGCAAAUCCACUCAUUAUGUCCGGGUAAAACCACCAUACCUUGAUCGACUCCUCAGCUGCUUUAUGUUUCUUCUUGGGCUUUGCUGUUGUUGUUGGGUCUUGAUGAUCUGAGCAAUUGUUUGUCAAUGGAGGUCCACAAAGAUCUCUGUUCCCACCAUAUAUUGAUGGAUCAUCAAUAAGGGUCUGCAAUUGAUGGCCUGUUGGAAUUCUUCCCCACAAGUUGUUGUGUGACAGAUUCAAAUGACUCAAAAAAAUCAAAGUUGCCAUGCUUGGAGGGAUCAUCCCGGUCAACUCAUUGUUUGAGAAAUCAAGAGAAAAUAAUGCCGUCAAGUUUCCAAUGGUGUCUGGAAUAUUCCCACUGAGAUGAUUAUUAGACAAAUUGAGACCCACCAACAUAGAAAGUGCAGUUAUCUCUUUAGGUAUUUCUCCUACGAGUUUAUUGCUUGAAAGGUCCAUGUUAUAAACUAUAUCCAAAAUUCUUGUUUAUUCAAGAUCAACACCUUUCAUAACCUGAAUCACAUUCUCAUUAGAAUCAUCACCACCAUUACUGUCAUACCACUUUUCUGCACCAUUAACCAUUGCAUUCAACUCUCUUAGGCAAUGAGGGAUGAUACCCGUUAAGUUGUUGUAUGCAACAUCCAAAAUUUGAAGAUUUGACAUUUUGCAUAAAGAUUCAGGAAUUUCCCCGGUAAAGUUAUUCUUGUGUAAUCUUAAAACAAUCAAACUUGUCAGAUUUUAAUUUGAGUUCCCAUGAGAUUCAAUUUCAUUAUAAUCUAAUCUGACAUCUAAACAACACCUAUAUUACAAAUGUCAUACAUAUAUAAAAUCCAAAUAGUAGCAUAAAUAAGCACAAUAGGUGUAUUAAGAAGUAAAACAAUCAUAACUAAUAUACACUUAAGAAAUAUUGUCAAUGGUUUCCUCCACAAACGUGAAAAGCUUCUGUCUCCACUGCUUCAUGAACAACAAAAGUCCAAUAACACCCCAAAACCCUGUUGCAAAACCACACGUUACAUCUACGUAAUACCAUGUCUUCAACCAUGCUUUGGUAGGCGCAUCAGUUUGUUUGUAUUUCUUCUUGGGCAUUGUUAUUGUUGUUGUUGUUGUUUGGUCUUCAUGCUUUGAGCAAUUGUUUGUCAAUGGAGGUCCACAAAGAUCUCUGUUCCCACCAUAUAUUGAUGGAUCAUCAAUAAGGGUCUGCAACUGAUGGCCUGUUGGAAUUCUUCCCCACAAGUUGUUGUGUGACAGAUUCAAAUGACUCAAAAAAGUCAAAGCUGCCAUGCUUGAAGGAAUCAUCCCGGUCAACUCAUUGUUUGAGAAAUCAAGAGAUUCUAACCUCAUCAUGUUUCCAAUGUUUUCUGGAAUUCUCCCACUGAGAUGAUUAUUUGACAAAUUGAGACCCAACAACAUAGAAAGCGCAGUUAUCUCCACAGGUAUUUCUCCUACAAGUUUAUUGCUUGAAAGGUCCAUGUUAUAAACUAUAUCCAAAAUUCUUGUAUAUUCAAGAUCAACACCUUUCAUAACCUGAAUCACAUUCUCAUUAGAAUCAUCACCACCAUUACUGUCAUACCACUUUUCUGCACCGUUAACCAUUGCAUUCAACUCUCUUAGGCAAUGAGGGAUGAUACCCGUUAAGUUGUUGUAUGCAACAUCCAAAAUUUGAAGAUAUGACAUUUUGCAUAAAGAUUCAGGAAUUUCCCGGUAAAGUUAUUCUUGUGUAAUCUUAAAACAAUCAAACUUGUCAGGUUUUCUCCAAUCCAGUGGGGUAUCUUUCCAAACAAUUGAUUAUCACCCACAUCUAGGUCUUUUAAAUCUCUUAAAUUCCCCAACUCUUGAGGAAGUUCACCAGUAAAGUUGUUGUCAUUUAAUUUUAACCAAUGCAAUGAUGAAUGACUAAGUGCUAUAUAGCUUGGAAUGACACCUGAAAGUAAAUUUGAGCUAAGGAUCAUGGCACCCAACCCUUGCAGAUUCUGGAGACAUUUGGGAAUUGUCCCUGUUAACCUAUUUCUGGAAAGAUCAAGUAAAACUAAAUCUGUCCAUCUGCACAAGGACUUCGGAAUUGACUCAUUGAAAAUGUUAUUUGCCAGUAUCAAUGCCUGACCUGUUUCUGGAAGGUUUGUCAAUGGUCCGCUGAGUUUGUUGUGAGAGAGAUCUAAGAAAGCAAUGACAGGCAUCUUCCGCAACCAUGUGGGCAGAGGUCCCGAAAUUGAAGCAUUCGACAACACUAACUCAGAGAGCAAGAACUGAUUCCGUAGCCACUGUGGCAAUCCAUUUGUGAGAUUGCAGGAACUGAGAUCAAGACCAUCCAACUGGAAUGGAGGCAUCCACUUAUGUGAAAAAUUGCAUGUCAACUUCGUGUUAGAAGAAGCUUCCAAGUAACUCAACAUCGAAAGGUUAGCAAAAUGGGCUUCGGAAACUACUCCUUCUAAGGAAUUGUCUGAGAUAUCUAACUCAUUGAGUUUGGCAAGUUGCCCAAUUGAAACCGGAAUAGUCCCAUUUAACAAAUUUGAAGACAACCGAAUUGCUUGUAAUGAAACAAGUCUUCCUAGAGAUGUUGGGAUGGGGCCCGUUAAGUGAUUGGAUUGUAGAUACAAAGAUUCUAAAGCUGCAAGAUUUCCAAAGGAUUCUGGAAUUGAACCAUUCAAUUGGUUAUCAUGUAGAUCUAAUACCUCUAAGAAUCUUAAUCUUCCUAGAGAUUCGGGGAUUGGACCUGUCAAACUGCUCAUUGAUAGAUCUAAGUGUCUUAAAUUGGUUAGUCUUCCAAAUGCUUCUGGAAUCGUACCAUUCAAACACCCACUUAAAUCCAACCGCUCCAAAGCAUAUUGGGAGCAUUCUGAAACGUUUUGCGGUGGGUCAAUCCUUUCUAUUUCAAAAGGAUUUCCAUAUGCAGCCAAUGUUUUCAGGUGACACUGUCUCCAGAUUCCAACAUCCUCAAUAUUCUUAAACUGGUUAACAGAAAGAUCAAGCUCUAGAAGGUUAGCCAUAAUAGGAACCGAAGAAUGCAGCAUGUUUCUUGAGAGAUCAAGGACUCUUAAGGAACUCAUGUUACUGAAAACAGAUGGAAAUAUGCCUUCAAUUGAAUUCCAGCUAAGAUCC
Molecule: long non-coding RNA, 54300 nt
Filed under: Lactuca sativa (garden lettuce)
Lineage: Eukaryota; Viridiplantae; Streptophyta; Magnoliopsida; Asterales; Asteraceae
Description: long non-coding RNA (LSAT_LNC008719)
Source: RNAcentral